UUUUUUUUUUUUAGUUUCAAGUUAUACAUGACAUAAACCAAGUCAUUCAUCUUUUUUUUUAAUAUAAACAAUUUCUUCCUUUUGUAUGAACAUAUAUACAAAUAUGAAAUUUUAAAACUAUACUAACCAAAUAAAGAAAAUUAAAAACCACAGAGAACUUGAAAAAGUUGAGUUAGCAUUUCAAAUAGCUCCAAUUACUACUACAAAAAAAUCAUGAAAUAGAAACUAAUUUUUAGUGACAAAAAAUAAUUAGUUGCUAUAGUGACGAAAUUAGAUACCAUUUUAGAGACUAAAAAAUUUUUGGUUUCUAAAUUAGUUUUUAUUAUCGUUAAAUGGUUUCUAAAUUGGUAUCUAAUUAGCAACCAAGGAGUAGGUUGUAGGAUGAUGGAGCGUUGACGACUAUGUAUUUGAUGGUUAUGGUGCUCGUCGCUUCCCCAUCCAAGAAGGUCGUGUGUAGCUCCUCACAUCCUCACACUUCGACAUGGUCCCCAUUGGAACCGACGAGGCAUCCAUCGAAGGGUCAAAGCUGAUCGGGGGGAAUUUGGAGGCCGAGGUACGUGUCCCAAAACAUGACGUCCACAGAGCUUCCUUGGUCAAUCAACACCCAAUGUACAUUACGCCCCAUGGUAACAACUGAGAGUACCACAGGGUCCUCCUCAUGGGGGUACAUAUCUUACAGAUUUGUAGGAGUGAAACAAAGAGAAGGAACUACAGGGGGUCACCGAGUCUGUAAGGAUAAUACCGAUCUCGAGUAUUGCUUCCGAGCUGAUGAAGAAGUCCCCCACCCGAGCAUCCGCCAGCUAUUGUAUUCAGAUCCCCCAUCACGAGAAUUUCAUGGUUGUGCUCCUACGAUUGGUUUCCCCCCUUUCGAUCGAUAUCAAAACUUCUGACAUAUUUCAUUAUAAAACCUUCUUUAACUAGUUUAACAAGCUGAUAUUUCAAGGUCAGACACCUCUCUGUGUCGUGGCCACGACCUUAAUAAAAUUGGCCUUCCUUCUUGCAUCUAAUACAUGAUCGAUUUUCGCAAACUUUUAAGUCAAGAAUGAAAUUACUUCGAGAAACAAUUGAUAAGGAAAUCAGUUUGCCAAAACACAAAGCAAAAAAUCACAGCACCAGAAAAACAAUCGGUUGUUUCGCAGAAACAAUCGGUUGUUUAUACCAGUUCACAACUAACAAAACUUAAUUUAAAGAGAUUAAGGAUAGAGAGAAAGCACACAGAGGUUUAUACUGGUUCACUCUAAACCAGAGCUACAUCUAGUCUUCCUAGAAACCAUUGGGGAAUCCACUAAGCAAUCAACCCUAGAUCACUUACAACACAACCAAAGAAGUGACCUUGAUCCCCUCAAGACACACACUUCCUUUGGUCCAGCACAACCAUACUAAGAAUGCUGAUCUUGAUCCCCUCAAGAACACAUAACACUUCUCAGCAAACACACAAGGUUCUUUCAAAAGAUACAAAGGAUUACACUUGUUACAGAACAAAUCUGAAAUCAAUACAAGAUGAAAAAUCCUAUCUCACACUUCUUUGAUCAAACUUAAUCUCUAAGCAAUUCUCAACUUUUCAAAAUCUCAAUCUCUUGAAAAACUCAAAUAUGUUUUUCUGUAUAUAUUCAAAGUUGUUGUUUGUUAUCAAAUCUUAACAAGCUAUUCAUUGCAUUUAAAGUUUGGUCAAAGAAUUAAAAACUGGAGCGUAAACAGUUAGAAAAUCAUUUAAUGCUCAGUCAAAGCACAAAACAGUUUUUUGUUAUGGUACCAAAACAAACAAUUUGUUGUUUCCACUAAUCAAUCGGUUGUUUUGGUUUUGACAGCAAGUCAACCAUUGAAAACAGUUUUCAACCUUUUUAAAAACUCCUAAGUAUAAAACAAUCGGUUAUUUCGACAAAACAACAGGUUGUUUUUCACUUAGUUUGAAAAACACUUUUCUUUUAAAAGGAUUGAGAAUACUUAUGUUUUGGAUUCAAUCAAGAGUGGAUAAUACAUAAAAUCUACCCCAUAUCCUAACUAAAAGGCAGCUCAGCAACAACAAACACAACUAGCCUUUGAUCAUCCUUCAAAGGGUUUGGAUUCUUCAAAGCUUGAACACACUUGGUUCAACAUAUUAAAUUAGUAAUAUUAAGUGUUACAUUAAUAAUUAUAAUAAAGAACAUUAAUAUGAAGUAUUUAAUUAUUCAUUAAAUACAAUAAUAGAUGUAAUAAAUACUAUUACUGAAAAGCAUUUAACUAUAUUUAUUAAGUAAUUAAUUGAUUUGUGGAAGACAACUAAGUCCAUUUAAGAGAUCAAAUGUUUGAAUUUAAAGAUAUUGUCAUGACAUAAAAUAAUUUUACUCGAAAUUAAGUAUUUUAUUAGGGUUUAAUCUUUAUGUUUAUCUAUAAUAAUAUAUAAAGAAAAUUCUUUUUUUUUUCUGUACACAUCUCUUUUUCUAAUUUUAUCCUUUAUGAAAAAUAUGAUAAAAUUAAAUUUAAAAAUUUGAAUUAAAAAAAAACUAGAAAACACAAUUUUUGAAUUUGAAAAAAAAAAUUACAGAACACAAUUUUUGAAUUUAAAGCUCAAAAUUUGAAUUUGAAAAAAAACCUAACAAUAUACAAAGAGGAUUAUGUACACAUUUUUGUUUCUAAUUUUAUCCGAUUUUAAAAUAUGACAAAUUUUAAUUUGAAAAAAAAAACUAAAAAUUCUAAAGUAAAAAUUUGAAUUGACAAAAAAAUAGAAAACAAAACUUUUUUAAUAUAAAGGAUAAAAAGGGAGAAUGAAAACACAGCUAUCAUACAAAUCUAUCUUCUUUUGUCUUUUUCUUAUAUCAUUCGAUUCUUUUGUAUUCACUGCAUAGCAUGCAUUCAGCCUACAUAAUCAUGUAAUUGUAAAUAUAUGUAUAUUACAUAUAUCUUUAUUUUAUAAUUUAUUGAUAAUUGACAUUUUUCAAUAAGAAACUAAAUUAGUGAAACAAUGUAACAUUUAAAAGGAUGAUACAUUGAUUAAAUCAAUUUUAACCAACAAAUUGAAAUAAUUUUACAUUGAUAAUGAUAUUGACAUUUUUUAUUAAUAUAAAAUUUUAAUGAUUAUAAUUUCAAUCUUCUUACAAAACAAAAUAUCUAUAUUUAUAAGAUUAUUAUAAUUUAUUUAAUUUCUUUUAUUGUAGAUUAUAUAUUAUUAAUAUGUCAUAAAUACAUUACAUAAAUAUUUUAAAAAUUAAGAAAUUAUAGAUGAAGUGUUUUACACUGAAUUAAGAAAACUCCUAACUUAUGUUUUCUAUUUAAAUAACAUAAAUUUAUUCAAUUAUUAUAAUUUAAUAAAUAUAAAUAUAUUCAUUAAUAUAAAUUUUACUUCUUAUGAAUAAGAAAUUUUGAAUAUCCAUCUUUAUUUAGUCUCUCAUUUAAAUAAAAAUUUAUUAUUACAAAAUGGUAAUAUUACACAUUGGUAUUUUCUUCUAUAUAUAAAUAUAUAUUACAACUUGUAAUUAUAGUUGUAAAUUUAUCAUCUAUUAAUUAAUAAAUUAUUAUAAAUUUAUAGUAUAAUAAUAUUAUAUAAAAAAAUAAUUAAAAAGACACGCACACAAUUUUUGGUAGUACGUGAGAAAAUGUAUAUAAAGAAAUAUUAGUUAUUUAAAUAAAUAUAUAAUUCUGCAUCAUAAUUAUAAAUUAGUUCUUUCACUUUACUGAUACCAAAGUAACAUUUUCCGUUUUAACAUACUCCUCUCUAAUAUAUUACCUUUAACUUUCCCCAUUUUAGUGUUUCGAGAUCCAAACGCACAUAAACAAAGCAACACAGAGAUUCUUUUCUCUCUCUCUGACACCGCACAAAAAGCAGCACAUCCUUAUAAAUGCCAUCACUCUUUGUAUGAGCAAACUGCCAUCAAAACAAAGAUGCUUCUCUCACCUUUUCUCACACUCACUAUCCUUCUUUUCUUCUCUUCUUCUUCUUCUUCUUCUUCUUCUUCUUCUUCUUCUUCUUCUUCUUCUGUCUCUGCAAUCUAUUCAACUCCAACAUGUUCCAACAUAGUGCCGUUCAAAAAUCGCACCGACAGAAUCUCCAUAACUGACUAUGGAGGUGUUGGCGACGGCCGCACUCUGAACACGAAAGCGUUCAGAGAGGCUGUGUACCGCAUUGAGCACCUGAAAAGGCCCGGAGGCACGGUGCUGUACGUGCCUCAGGGAGUGUACGUGACGGAGAGCUUCAACCUCACCAGUCACAUGACGCUUUAUCUGGCUGCCGGUGCCGUUAUCAAAGCCCAACAGGUAAGGUUAACUCGUUCGUUCAAUGUUCAUCUUCUCAAAAAUAAAUUCUUAAUUCAAUUUUUUAAGUUUUGUUAAAUUUAAAUUUAACUCUUUUCAGUUAAAUUUUUAUUAAGAAUUAAGUUUUAUAAAAUAUCCAAAAGAAUUAUACUUUUAAAUUAAAUUUUUAUGCUUUGAUUUUACAGUAAAUUGGAGUUUAAUGAUGGUUAUUUUGUAUUGAUAUUGCUUAUUUCUCUUCGCAUCAAAAAUAAGAAAGCUGUUUAGUUAAGUUUUAAUUUUUUUUUAUAAAUCUAAGUAUUUUUAAUUGAUUUUUUUGUUAAAAAAAUUAUUUUAUUAAAAGUUUAAAUUUUUGUAUUUUUAAUUUUAUUUCUACUGUUAAUGGGAUUUAUACGGUUGAAUUUUAUUUGGUUUUGGUAUUUUUAAUUGAAUUUCUACUGUUAAAUUUUUUGUAUUUUUAAUGGAAUUUCUACGUUUGGUUUUGCUGUCUCAAAUAAAAUAAGAUGGAUUUGUAUAAUCUUAAUUAUCUUCGUAAAAGUGAUAACAUUUUAUUUUAUAAAUUAAAUAUUAAAAUAAAAAUCAAAUCAAUUAUGUAAAAUACACAAAAUCUAUUAUGUCAAAAUAUACAACAAUAAUUAUGUUUGUUAAAGAUAAUUAGGGUUUGAGAAUUAUUUUUUAUUAUUUAAUUUUGUGGUGUUUUAUUUGAGAUAGUAAUGUCAUUCCAAUUGACAAGAACUUGGAAAAUAUAAUUUUUUUGGACAUUUUAAUAGAAUAAUUUCUUUAAUAAAAAUUCAAUUUUGAAAAUAUUUAAAUUUAUGAAAAAUUUAAAAUUUAAUUAAUUUUCUUUUUAUUUUUCAUGUAGGAGUGCAUAAGCAAUAACAACAUUCAUGUCAUUCCACUUAAUGGUAAAAUUAGAUGAUAAAGACUUAACUGAAAAGUGUAAAAAUUUUUAAGAAGAAAUUUAAAUAAUUAAAAAUACUUAAAUGAAUGAGGAAUUUAACACUUAAUUAUUAUUUUUUGUUUUCCUUUAUUCUAUUAUAUUUUCUGGUGAAUUUUGAGGGAAUAUGUGAUUUGUUGUUUGGGUUAUGUUUUUUUUUUCUUAAAUUUGAGUUUAUGUCUAUUGUAUUUUAAGAUUAUGAAAAACAGAUAAUAUAAAAUAAUUUUGUAAGAAAUUGUUGAGAAUAUAUUUUUUGUACACAUGUUUGAAUAUAUUGUUUUUCUUUGAUUGAAAUUUAUUACAUAUUAUAAAAGUUAGGAAACUUUUGUGAACAUAUUAUUUUAUUUGAAAAUUUAUAAAUUUUUGUAGGUUUCAUAAAUUGUUUUAAAGAUUCGGUCGUAAUUUUCGAAUUUUAACAUAUAAAAAUGUAGUAGAGAAAUGUACUGCAGAAUUUAUUCAUAGCAUUCCUCCAUUUAUAAUAUCAUUUAGAUAUAUUUUACAAUAUAUAGUUUUAAAUUAUUUAUUUUUUGGUAAUAAGUUUCCUUUUUUGUUUAAAUUAAUGAUGUCUAACUUUGCUCUAUGUUUUCCUUUUUUGUUAAAUUAUUAAAUAAUUAAUGUGUAAUUUAUUGUUUUGGAACUGAUUUAAUAAAUAAUUCUUUUAGAAAUUAAAAUAAUAUAAACACACUAAGUGUUUGUUUGAUUAAAAUUUAAUUUUAAGAAUUAACAUAAUUAAUACUUUAAUUUCUUUAAAAAUUAAUAAUAGUGUGGAAUUCAUUACUUUAAAAGCAACUUUGUAUUAAAAGUAUUUGUUUGUUGACGAGAUUGACCUUGCUAAUAAAACAACAUUUAAAUUAUUUGAAAAUGUAACUCGUUUACAAAUUAAUUUUUUAUUUAACCAAGCAGAAAUCACGCAUUUUUAUAUAUAUUAUCUUAUUUUAAUUAUUUAAAAUUUAUAUUAAUUGUAGUUUUAUUUCUUUAAAUAAAAAUAUUAUUAUAAUCAUUAUUAUUUAUAUUUGAUUUGUAAUUUAUAAUUUAGUAAUAGAGAUUGUAGAUUUACAUGAAAGAGAAGAAAAACAAUGCAAUUAUAUGAUAAAGUAGUAAUGUGAGAGAUUAUUUUAAGUAGUUAACAAUCUUUACUAUCUUUAAAAUUUAAAAUUUUAAAAUAAAAUUAAAGAUAAAAUAAAAAUAUAAAAUGGUAUAUUUAAUUAUAUAUUAUAUAUAGUUAUAAAUUAGAUUGAAUUCUUCAUAGUUUUAAACUCUUUCUACAAUGUGGGUUGUUUUCCAUAUUGUAAUUUGAAUCCUUUAUGUCUUUUUUUUCUUUGUUGUCUAUCAAAGAAAUACCCAAUUAUGAAUUAUGAACAUGAUGAGAUAAUGUGAACCUAGAAAUAAUUUAGCCAUGAAAUUAUAUAAAAAAUUUAAAUCUAACACUAAAUUUCAAAUUAAAAUAACUUGAUAUAUUAUCUUAUUGAGACUAAGUAUGUCGGUGUACAUGUUGGAAGCAGACAAAAACACAUGUAUACUAAUGAAAAAGAGAAAAAAAUUGCAUUAUCAUUUAUUAAUAUAAAUUGUGUGAACAAUUUGUGGUAUAUUUUAGUUUUUCUAGUUCAAAAGUAGAGUCUCUAGACCCCACUUGUCACUAAAACCAAAGCGAUAAAGACUAUAUAGUUCCGGCAAUGCAAAAAGCCAGCAAAUGCCAGCAUAUUUCAGGAAAACCCCAAAAAUUGAAUGGCAGAAUGUGAUACACCAUAAAAGUCAGUUACCAUUUGUGAGAGAAAAAUAAGAUCAAAUGAAGGAUCAAUACGAUGUACUUGUGAAUGAUGAGAGGAACAUUGUACAUGAUAAAGGAUCUGAUACAGUGAUGUAUAAUGAAUCAGUCAAUUGGGAAGUGUUUAUGUUAAUGUUCUAGUCUGAAUUAUGUAAGGUUGGAAAUAUAGAUUAUUUAGAUAGCAAAUAGGUUGCCCAAAACAAAGAAUUCACAUGAAUAUGAAUUAUGGUGGACCUAAAGCUGAAUGGAUGAAAAAAAUUGAUGGGUCCCUUGUCUGCAUAGAUGCAUGUGCCUGAUAUUUAAAGCUUUCACAACUGACAAUGGCUUUGUUGGACAGCUGGUUCCUUGGCUAAUAGCCGUUACUGAUGUCUGUCUUGGAUUAUUUAGUGAACAAUUCAAACAUGAUUUAUUUAUUUAAAAAAUAAAAAUCAAAUGAGGGGUAUCAUGUAAAUUGAUGUAAAACUAAAUUUGAGUACUAUUCAUAUGUUCUUGGGUCCAUUGCAAUGUUAAAUGGAAAGGACCAUGUUAUCAGCAUACCUGAGAAUAAUACUUUUCUGUUGAUAUAUAUUAUGAAAAAUGUUACUUUCAAAUUGACAACUUUACAUGAAAAAACAUCAGUUUAUAAUUAUAAUUUACAUUUCAUUAAAAAGAUAAGUUUUUUUUAAUCUAAUGCAAAGUUAUCAGUACUCAUAUAUUAUUUAGGACAGAGUCAAUUCUCUAAUGAGAUUCUUCCUGAUUGUUUAAUAGUUAGAAAUGGUUUGUCAUCUUGCCUUUUGUGGAACUUGAACGGUAGCAGAAUACAAACUUCAUAUUUAUUUUUUGCUUAUGGUAAUGAACUUGGUUGGAACAAAUAUGUGCUGUGAAUUAAAUAGUGGAAUGGUGAUACUGUAAUUGUAAAGUUAGGACAGAGAGAAGAGAAAAUUACUUGUAGUUAGAGUAUAUAGUUUUUUUUCUAUCAUUUGAGAACUUAGCAUUUGCUAUUUGUGAAAGGAGAAAUUGUUUUUGAAGGGUUUCUAUAAACAGGCUGAAAGUACCUGCCAGAUGGUAUCAGCUUUGUGACUGUUUCAACAUUCAGGUUUUAGAUGCAUGUUGUAAAUCUGUAUAAUUGAACUACACCUAUCAAACUCAUUUGGGAUGUGUAUUUAAGGUGAUAAAUUCAUAUUUUUGCUGCUAGAAUAUGAUUUGAAGUGAAUGCUCCAAGUCCACUGGAAAUCAAAACUCAUCUAUUAUUCCUUCUAACAAGUUUUCUUUUUCUUGAUAGCAAAGGAAACAUGAUAAGAAAACUUCUUUAGAAAAUGUCUCAUUUUUCUUCCCUAGCACACUCUUUAAUGUUGUUCCUCUCUUAGGAUUCAAGGAAUUGGCCUUUAAUUGCACCCUUACCAUCUUAUGGAAGAGGGAGGGAGCUCCCUGGAGGAAGGUAUAUCAGUUUUAUCCAUGGAGAUGGACUUACUGAUGUGGUGAUCACAGGUGGGUAUCAAAUCUUGAAUAUUUUUUGCAAAUUUUGUUUUUUGGGGAAAAUCUUCCUUUCUUGUACUCUUUAUAGACAAACUAAUUUUAAGGGAGCCUUACCCAAUAUUUUUAUAGGUGAGAAUGGGACAAUUGAUGGACAAGGAGAUAUGUGGUGGAACAUGUGGAGGAAGAGAACACUUAAAUAUACAAGACCAAGCCUUGUUGAAUUUGUAAAUUCUCAAGAUAUUAUUAUUUCAAAUUUGAUUUUCAAGAACUCUCCCUUCUGGAAUAUACAUCCAGUUUAUUGCAAGUAUGAAUCAGAAGUAUUUUUAUUUAUAGUAUUUUCAUUUUUUUCAUCACAAGUUGCUUGAAACAAACUAGAAAGGAAUUUGAGAGGUAGAGAUGUUUUCAUGAAAUAUAAUCUCAAAACCCUGUUCCUUCUUUGCAGCAAUGUUGUGGUUCGAUAUGUCACAAUUUUGGCUCCUCGUGACUCUCCCAAUACUGAUGGAGUUGAUCCAGGUAAAUUCCCUCUAAAUAAGCCACAUCUUGUGCAUAUAAUAGUGAACUAGUUUUAGUUUUAGCUUGUAAUAAACAGUCAAAUCCUAAUGCAACCAACUGAUCUCAUUAAGUUUCACUUGUUGGUAUUGAAACAAGUGAAACUGUUAGGGAAGGAAAGUAGUGGUACUAUUAAUGUUGAUUCCACUAAUGCUAUGUGGCUCUUAGCUUUCAAGUAUGAUUUUGUAUGCUUUCAUGGUACAUGAAAUAACAAUUCAACACUAUCAAGUGUUAUGUUGUGAUUGCCAUGAGGUGUUUUGACAAGGCCUAUGUACUAAAUCAUCUGCAUAAUUCAUUUAUGCAGAUUCAAGUUCAAAUGUGUGCAUAGAAGACUCAUACAUAUCAACAGGAGAUGAUCUUGUGGCAGUGAAGAGUGGAUGGGAUGAGUAUGGUAUUGCAUACGGUCGCCCCAGCUCUGGCAUCACCAUCCGACGCCUGACCGGAUCAUCGCCGUUUGCCGGCAUUGCAGUUGGCAGUGAAACCUCUGGUGGGGUGGAGAAUGUGCUUGCUGAAAACAUUAACCUCUUCAACAUGGGAGUAGGCAUCCACAUCAAGACCAACAAAGGCAGGGGAGGGUUUAUCAAGAACAUCACAGUGGCUCAUGUGUAUGUGGAGAAUGCAAGGCAGGGAAUAAAGAUUGCAGGUGAUGUAGGAGGGCACCCAGAUGAGAAGUAUAAUCCUGAUGCUCUCCCUGUUGUGAAAGGCAUCACAAUUAGGAAUGUUUGGGGAGUGAAGGUUAACAGAGCUGGUUUGAUAAAUGGACUGAAAAAUUCUCCUUUCACUGAUGUUUGUUUGUCUGUUAUCAACUUCCAUGGUAUGGCAGGAUCAAGGGCUCCUAAUUGGAAGUGUUCUGAUGUGUCUGGAUUUGCUUAUCAGGUUAGUCCUUGGCCAUGUUCUCAGCUGCACAGCCAAGAACCAGGAUCCUGUGCCAUUUAGACAUCUUCAUUCUCUUCUAGUAUUGUUCUCAUUCACUCAUUCAAUCACCAUCUUUCCAAUUGUAUGAUAUCAUAUCAAACAAUAAUACCCUACCUAGUAUACUAUUAAUAAUAUUUACCUUAAUUUCAUGCUGAGAUUUUGAUUUCUGCUAUGUUUGGUCCAUCAUUGUUGAUAAACAUGUUCGAAUUCAUAGAGGUUUAUAAUUCUUAACUGAUCUUUCCUACUGAAAAUAAGAGAAAUUUUCAAUUUUCUUAAAAGUAGUUGUUUGAUAAAUUUUAUAUAAACUAUUGAAUUAAAAUAAUUCAAUAAUUAACAGACUUUUUUAUUAUUAAUAAUAAUUUUAUGAAUUUAUUUAUCUAUAUUGCACUUGUCAACGAGUCUGCUUUUUAAUUUGAAUUUAUCAAUUCUAUUUAUCAUCUUAAUGAAUGAUAUUUGUAUUUUUAAUAUUUAUUUCAAAAUUUCAUUUUAGUUAUUUCAAUCUUAGAAAAAUAAUUGCUAAUAUAUUCAAAAUAUUAAAUACAUACUCAUAUUUACUUAAACUAUUAAUUCAAAUUUGAAAAUUCAUAUUUUUCCAAAACACUACAGUACUAAAAAAAUAAAUAAUUGUAACAUGUGAUCUUGUUAGCAAUCACAUCAAAAUUUAAUUUAAUAUAUUAUUUCAUGAUAUACAAUUAACUUAAUAUUAAGAAUUGUAUAUCAUUAAUUAGAAAUUGUAAACUAAAUUGACAACUUUAUUGUAUUAAAAAAAAUCUUUCACAAAUAUAUAUAUAUAUAUAUAAUUUAGAAGUUUUUAAAAUUACAUGAACUAUGAACUAAAUAAGAAUGUUGUGAAAAAUGUAUUUUAUAGAUAGAUAAUAUGAAAAAAAAUUAAUCUUGUUUUAUUUAAGAAAAUCAUAUAUAGAAUUGAAGAAUUAAAACUAAAUUUUGUUUUGAAAAAAAAAAAAAACAAACUUACCUUAAAUCAUGUUUUGAUAUAUUAAAAAUAUAUAUGAAAUAUUUUAAAUAAGUUGGAAUAAAAAUAUGUUGUACAAUAAAUUUAAAAUAUUUAGUACUUUUUAAACAUUGUUAAAGUUAAAAAUAUUUUUUUGUUUUAAAAAAAUUGAAAUUAUGUCUGUGAAGUAGCAUUUAGGAUUGAUACAAUUAUAAAUAAAAGGGGUAUCAUUUAAACAAUAUUUAUAAAGUGAUAAAUAAGUAAAAUUUAUACAUGAUUAGAAAAUAAAAAUGUAGGAAAAGUUAUCAUCUAUGAGAAGCUUUGCCAUAGAGUGGUCUUCUUCUGGUCGUCCUUGUGGUUAUUGUUCGUUUGGAAUGGUAGGAAGGGGUGGAGGUGAAAUGUCAUUGCCAAUGUCUUCGACUUUAUUGUCUUCUUUUUCUCUGAUUUUUGGACACCUGUGAAGGCAUUGUUGGUCGAUAAUACUGCAUGAAUGACAUUUGAUUAUAGGAAGAUGAUGGGGAGGUCCUGGUAGAGGUUGCAAAUGGAUUUGAUGGACCAGCAAUAAAUUUUUGUUGAGAUGGAAAUGUUGAGUAGUUGAAAGGUGGUUGAUGGAAUGACAAGUGAGGUUGAUACACAUAUUCAAACAAUUGAGUUGGGUGGACGAAAAGAUUGUUGUUGAAACAAUUCAACUUGAGAAGAAGACCUGACAUGAUGUUGAUAGUGAGGUUGUGUAGUCCCAUGUGGCAUAUCAUACUAUUUUGAAAAUAUGUGUUAAUUUCGGAUGAGUCAAUGAAAAAUAAUAAAUGAUUUUGUAAUUGAACUUACAUCGUCAUCAGACAAUGACUGUAUAGGUGAGAUGUAGCGGAUAGUAGAGUUGAUGUAACAUUGCAUGUAUGUUGAAUUGCCAUGCAAAUGGUCAUUUUCCUUAAACUGAUUUUCUUGAAUUAGAGGGUUAUGAAAGUCAUUCCACAUAGCUAUUCAUGCGGCAUGAUAUUGUGGCUAGUAUCGACCAGUCUGUCCUCUCAUAUCCUCUAUGUGAAGUUGAUCAAGGUUUGAUUGGUCCCUUGGAAUACUCUGUUAAAAUCCAAACUAAUGCAUAACCCUAUCAACCUAAUGAAAUUCAACCGUUGUGAAACAUAUGAGAGGAACUAACGCUCGUGUAAUUGGGGAAACCCCAAUAUUGAUCAACCGCCUAACAUAAUCCACUUGAUAUGGAGUCCAAAGAAAAAGUAAAUAAAUGUUCAAAACAUCAGUAAUAUGAAAUUUUCAGUUAAAAUGGUAUGUAAGUUUAGAUAUUGUUUACAACCUCUCUAGCUUUAAUGCCAUCAAACAUGGCCCAUAUUUGGGGAACAAUGGUUCCUCCUGUAUGUGUUCUAUGUAUCCUCCGAGUCCACCCAACGUAAACAAAGGAAUAUAAAGAAAUUUACAACUAAGAUAACUUGAAUUUAAAUUUGUUUUCUUGUCUCAAAAAUUAAUACAAAAAAUAACAUGUCUUUUCCCGAGAGGGAAGCCAACGCCUUGUUCAACUUUUUUAAUAAGUCAAUGUUUGAAGUUGUGAAGAAAUUCAAGUUAGGCGUUCCAUGCCCAACAAUGUAAAAGCAGCGUGCAACCUCCAAUGUUAUCAUGAUUAAAGUUUAUUCCGUGAUCAAGCGCACGAUACAGAGAAGCCAAUACAACUGACCCCAACUAUAAUUCCUGAUGUUGUUCAAGUCAACCAACAAUAAUAGGUACAUUAAAUGUACCUUACUACCUGAAGUAUUUGUUGAUCAAGGAUGAUCUUGAAGCUUUGAUGUCUCCAAAUCCAUGGUGUUUGAUGGAAGGCUGGAGUUGCUGCUUGUGUGGGUGGAUUUUGGGUAGAAGGAUGUGUAAUCCACUCUUUGUUUGAAUCUAAAACAGUUUGUGUUGAACCAAGUGGUGUUCAUGUUUUGAAGAAUCCAAAUCCUUUGAAGGAUGUUGAAGCCUCUGCUAUGCUUGAUGUUGCUGUGUUGGUUUAAGCUUUGUUCUGGGGUAGUUUAUAUGUUGUAAUCCACCCUGUGAUUAAAUCUAAAGCAUUAGCAUUCUCAAUCUUUGCGAAAGUAAAAUGUUUUCAAACUAAGUUAAAACAACCGAUUUUUUUGUCGAAACAACCGAUUGUUUAUACUUAGGUGUUUUGAGAAAAAGAUUGAAAACUGUUUUGAAUGGUUGAACUGUUAAGUACCAAAACAACCGAUUGAUUCGAGGAAACAACCGAUUGUUUGUUUUGGGACCAUAACAGAAAAAUUGUUUUCUCUUUGACUGAGCUUUAAAUGUUUUAACUGCUUACGCUCCAGUCAUUAAAUGCUUUGACCAAUCUUUUAAUGCAAAUUAAGAGUUUGUUAAGAUUUGAUAACAAACUACAUCUUUGAAUAAAUUCAGAAAAACAGUUUUUGACAAUUAAGAAUCUUUGACAAAAGUUUUUCAAGAGAGUUUUUCAAAGUGCUGAGAUUGCUAAGAGUUUGUGAUUGAUCAAAGUGUUGGAAUAGGAUUCUGCUUGUAUUGAUUUCAGAUUAUCUUCUGUAACAAGUGUAAUCCUUGUACUCUGUUGAACAAUUCGUUUUCUGUGUUUGUUGAGAUUGGCUGUGUGUUCUUGAGGUGUUCAAGAUCGGCAAUCUUAGUGUUGGCCAAGGAGAGUGUGUUUCUUGAGGUGUUCAAGGUCAUUCUCUUGGUUGUAGUGUAAGUGAUCAAGUGGUGAUUGCUUAGUGGAUAUCCUCAGGGUUUCUGAGAAGACUGGAUGUAGCUCUGGUUUGGAGUGAACCAGUAUAAACAACUGUGUACAAUCUCUUUAUCUCUAACUCUUUAAAUUCAGUUUAUUUGUUGUUUGCUGGUGUAAACAACCGAUUGUUUCUACGAAACAACCGAUUGUUUUUCUGGUACUAUAGUUUUUGCUUGCUUUUUGGCUAACUGAAUUGCUGAAUCAAUUGGUUCCUGAGAUAAAUUAAUUCUAGUUUUGAAAAGUUUGCGAAAACCCUCUUUAAACAAUUCACCCCCCUCUAGUUUAAAGCCAUCUUUUCUAACAGUUUGGAAUAAAAAUCUUUUUGAAAAAGAUUGUUUUAUAAAGAAGUGAAAAAACAACAAGUUGUUUUAUCGUUUCAAUCAAUUGUUUGACAUUUAGUGCUUUUUAAAAAGGAUUUGAAACUGUUUGACUUGGUUGACUUUGAUGUCAAACCAAUUCAAUCAGUUGUUUCGUGAAUUCAACCGAUUGUUUGUUGAAAAUCCAUAACAGAAUUUUUGUUAUGUUUGCAAAUCAACUUUAAAUAUUUUCUAAGUUAAUAAGCUCCUGCUUUAAAUGUUUUUAACAUCUUUUGGAGUAUUUAAAAGAGGUUGUUAUACUCUCUUAAAGAUUAAUACAAUUUUGAGACAUUUUGUGAAAGUGUGAAAACAAAUUUGAGUUUUCAAGAUUUGCAUUCAAGCUUUUGGGUUUUCUCAAAGAAGUGGAAUAGGAUUGCUGUAAUCUUUUGAUUUGAUCCUCAUCAGGUGUAAUCCUUUCUAUAUCUCUUGUAUUUCUAAAUACUGGUGUGUAAGUGCAGAAUCAGAGGGUGUUCUGAUUUUUUUGGUGUUUGUGUGCCAAAGGAAGUGUGUGACUUGAGGUGUUCAAGGUCACUUCUUUGGUGGUGUGUUUGUAAUCUGGAUUUUGAUUGCAUAGUAGAUACCCAAUGGUUUUUGGGGACUGGAUGUAGCUCUUGGGAUAAGAGUGAACCAGUAUAAAUUCCUUGUGUGUUUUUCUCUUACCUUAAACUCAUUUAAGUUAUGCUUUUAAGUUGUUUUUAAUUCUGCUGAUAUAAACAACCGGUUGAUUUUCUGAUAAUCAACUUAAACAAUUUUAAUUGAUUGCUUUAUGGAUUUCUAUAUCUGUGAUUCUGCUUUGAACUUCAUUAUACCUUCAAAGUUUGCGAAAAUCUUUCAUAAACAAUUCACCCCCCCUCUUGUUUAAGGCCAUAUAUUUUAACAGUAUCAGGCAUCAAUAGGCUUCCAAUAAGUGUUAAUAUGUGGGCUCAAACAUGUGGAACAAAAACAUCGUUGGUUGCAUGAUAUGGCGGUUCUUGAAAAUUUUUGUUAAGACAAUAUAAUUUAAUUGCAUUUCCUUUCACCAUUGUAGUGGGUGGUAUAAAUCCCAGCAACUACUCACAUAAAUUACCACUAGUAAUCCCAGUGACAGCCUCUCCAUCAACAGGUAGACCCAAUAUCAAAUCCACAUCUUCCAAUGUAACAGUUGUAUGAGUCUUUGUUCUCCUCUUUUCCACUAAUGUUGUAAGAAGUAGGUCUUUGAUGUCAAUGUUCUUAAACUUUAACAGAUCUCCAAAACCGAUGUGAUCAACUAAGUCUUUGACUCGCUAGUCAAGUAUCUCCUCAUGUUUUAGUACCCAAAUUGCUUGUCUUUUGGGUCUCAAUAUUCUUUCAUUACCUUCCCAUAGAUCUUUAGUAACAUGUUUCUUUUGAAGCCACAAUAGAAACAUAUCCACGAGAAGGCGAUGAGAUGCCAUAAAAUUCUAAUAAGAUAAAUCUUGAAAAUUAUAUUCAAAAUAUUAAUUAUGCUUAUGCAACCAUAUUUAUUGUUAAUAUCAUAUAAUAAAAACUUCUCUAGCGUGAAGGACCCUGUUAAUGAUAUUCAUAAGACCGUAAAAAAAUCAUAUGUAAUAAUAUAAUAUAAAAAUAUUCAUAAAACCACAAAAAAUAUCUUUUAUAUCUAAAUUAUAUAAAAUAAUGGAAAGGUUUGAUGUAUUUCAACAUCAUAAAUACUAUUUCUUAUUCACGUUUUUUUUUGUAUAAAAUAAACAUAUAAAAUGCCUAUUAAAAUAUUUUGAUGCAAAAACACAUUAUGGUCAAUUUUGCUAACUUACUCCAUGCAAAAAUCAUUCACCGACAACCAUUACUUUAAACUGACGCAAAAAAUUAAAUGAUGAUAUCAUACCAAAUACACAAAAAAGGAAAUGACCUCUAAAAUGCGUCAAGACCACAAUAUUAGAAUGGAUGGCUUUAAACUAGAGGGGGUGAAUUGUUUAAAGAGGAUUUUCGCAAAAUUUUAAAACAAGAAUGAAAUUAUCACAAGAAACAAUUGAUAAGAAAUUCAGUUUGCCAAAACAGCAAUAAAAAACAGUAGUACCAGAAAAACAAUCGGUUGUUUAUACCAGCAAACAACAAACAAAACUGAAUUUAAAGAGUUAAGGAUAGAGAGAUUGCACACAGAUGUUUAUACUGGUUCACUCCAAACCCAGAGCUACAUCCAGUCUUCUCAGAAACCCUGAGGAAAUCCACUAAGCAAUCUCACUUUGAUCACUUACACCACAACCAAGAAAGUGACCUUGAACACCUCAAGACACACACUCUUCUGGGCCAACACACCAAUACUAAUAUUGCUGAUCUUGAUCCCCUCAAGAACACACAUCCAAUCUCAGCAAACACAGAAACGAAACUUGUUUCACAAAGUACAAGGAUUACACUUGUUACAGAAGAUAAUCUGAAAUCAAUACAAGCAGAAUCCUAUUCCACAAACUUUGAUCAAUCACAAACUUUCAGCAAUCUCAGCUCUUUGAAAAACUCAAAAACUCUUAGCAAAAACUUGUCAAAGAUUAAUUCUCAAAUCUGUCUUUCUGAAUUUAUUCAAAGAUGUAGUUUGUUAUCAAAUCUUAACAAACUCUUAAAUUGCAUUAAAAGAUUGGUCAAAGCAUUUAAUGACUGGAGCGUAAGCAGUUAAAUCAUUUAAAGCUCAGUCAAAGAGAAAACAGUUUUUCUGUUAUGGUCCCAAAACAAACAAUCGGUUGUUUCCUCGAAUCAAUCAGUUGUUUUGAUUUUAACAGCUUAACCAUUUGAAAAACAAUUUUCAAAUCUUUUCUCAAAACAUCUAAGUAUAAACAAUCGGUUGUUUCGACAAAACAAUCGGUUGUUUUAACUUAGUUUGAAAACAUUUUACUUUCACAAAGAUUGAGAAUGCCUAUGCUUUAGAUUCGAUCAAUGGGUGGAUUACAACACUCAAACUACCCCAGAUCUAGACUAAACCAGCACAGCAACAACAAGCACAACCAAGGCUUCAACAUCCUUCAAAGGGUUUGGAUUCUUCAAAGCUUGAACACCACUUGGUUCAACACACAACACCACAACUGAAGAUUUCAACUUCAACCAGAUGAGGUAUGUUAACUUGGCACAACUAGUAAUUGCAAGUUGAAGGUAAAUUGGAGUUGGUAUGUUUCUUACAACUAUGAACUUUAAAGAAGAUGGAACUUGGCACAGCUAAGAACUUCAGAAUUUUUGGGCACACCUAAUGAGAGAUUUCAGCAUGAUCACAAUGUUUAGGUAGAUGCCUAUUUAAAUAGAAAUUGUGAACAAAUUGUAACCACAUUUGAAUGGAUGGAAUCUCAUUAUAUCCACCCUUAAUGCUCAAGUUGCAACCUCCACCCGCACCAAUGAAUGUUAAGUUUGAACUCAAACUUAGUGUACCAAGAAAUUGUUGUACCCAUCUCAGCAAAGCAAGAUAUUAUUGUAGCCAUGUGAGGAAAGAAACGAGGUGGUGCAUGCGUUCUCACAUAAGUCGCCAACGGUGUGAGAAACUUCUUCAUUUCGUGCCCUCAAAAAUCGCCAAACGUGAAGGCAACUUCUUCAAUUGUGCCAUGCAAAAUCGCCAAUGUAGAAGGCAACUUAUGUGUUAUGAAAUUGAGAAAAAACAAGUGGUGUGAGUUCAAUGAAACACAGUGUACGUGUACGUGAUUAUUUUUUGUUUGUAGAUUAACUAAGAGAUUGGACUUGUCAUAAUGAAUCAAAAUUCAAAUAAUUAUGUUAGAUUGUAUUGGAGUGAGACACAAUUUUUGUUAUAUAAUAAGAGAGUAAUGGAAUGGAUUUGUGCCUUGUACCCAUAAUUUGUUUUAGUUCAUAUCUCUGAAUUGUUGUAUCCACUUUAAAAAAACUGGGGAGAAGGUUUGUGGGACACAAUAUUUUCUCCGACUAAAGUUCAAACAAAAUCAUAAAGGUGAUGUAAAAUUUCCAUAACAUUCUUGUCUAUCAUCUUAUUUCCUCUUAUUUAGGAAAGACAUAUAUAUAUAUAUAUAUAAGGUAAUGUUAUUUUUUAAAAACACAAAUGGACACGUGGAUGUCGGUGGAACAUCAGUAAGCAAACAUGAAGAAACAAGAAUUAGAGACAUCGUGGAUGACAUAAGUGAAGAUAGAGACAACUACGACUUCAGUUUGGAUGAUGAAGAUUAGUUCAAGAAAUCUUCUUCACUAUAUAUUUUGUCUGGCAAUCAAUCCAAACAUAACAGUGAUUGUGACAUCCAUGAACACAUGUUUUCCAUGUCAAAGGAGGCGACAUUGAGUGCCAUAAAACAAUACCACAUAGACAACAGUUACAAAUUUGUUGUCGUGGAAUCAAAGCCAAAUAUGUGGUUCGGUGCAUACAUCAUGAUGGAGGGUUCCAAUGGAGAAUACAUGCAUCUUUUAGUAAAUUUCCAAGACAAUGGGAGAUAAAGAAUAUUGAUGCACAACAUACUUGUUUGUCAACAAAUCUUUCAGUAGGCCAUGCUAAUUUGGACUCAACCCAUAUUGCGUCCAUGGUGACUUCAGUAAAAGUAAAUCCUUCCAUCCCAAUUAAAAGCUUAAUUGUAUAAAUAAAAAAUCUUCAUGGCUAUAAUAUCACAUAUAGAAAAGCAUGGUUGGAAAAACAGAAAGCUCUUGCUAUAGCAUUUGGCAAUUGGGAACAGUCCUACAAUUAUCUUCUUAGAGAUGGUUUGAAGCAGUAAAACAAAGUAAUAUGGGAACAAUUUUGCAAUAUAUUGUUUCUCCUUGUAUGGUUGAUGGUGUUCAAGAGAAAUCUUGAUACACGUUGGAUCGUGUGUUUUGAUCUUUCAAACCUUGUAUUGACGGUUUCACUUUUUGCAAACCCAUUGUACAAGUUGAUGGGACAUUUCUAACCAGAAGAUAUCAUGCAACAUUGUUUACCGCAAUCGCUCAACAAUAAUCAUAACAUAUUUGCAUUAGUGUUUGCGAUUGUUGAAGGCGAGAGUUGAGAGGCUUUGAUCUGGUUCUUCCAGUUAUUGCGACAAUAUGUGACACCUCAACCGAAUUUGUACAUGAUUACUAAUAAAAAGAACUGACAUAAUUUCAUCAUUACAAUCCAAAGAAUUUGGAUGGGAAGGAAACAACCUCAUUUUCGUGUAUACACCAUAUCGAAGCGAACUUCAAAAAAAAAAUUAAAAAUACCGAGCUCAAAUGACAGUUGGUUAACAUGGGUAAUAACAUUGUUUACCUUCCCUCGUACAUAAUUACGACCUUUUACCAUUUAACUAAUUUCACUUACUUCUUUAUUACAGCUUAUGAGAUGAAAUAACCCACUGUACAUGGUAAGCUAUCAGCUAUGUGAUCUGAGUUCAAGCAAACAGUUUCCUAGAUAGAUUGCAUACCAUUAGAGAAAUGGACUUGGGCAUACGAUGGGGGAAAGAGGUAUGGCCAUAUGACCAUAAAUCUAGUGGAAUGCAUUAACUCUAUGCUUAAGGGAGCUUAUCCCUUGUCGAUUUCCACUUUGGUUAAGGCAACUUUCAAAAAAAUAAAAAAUGGUUUGUGGAAUGAGGCUUCAACAUAAACAUCAUGCUAUGCAUAGGUCAUUAUUAUCCAGAAGAUAUCAUCACAACCUUACUCAUAAAAGACCAACAAGAUUCAGCUAUGUGUUUUGUGGAAAGGUUUAAUGGAGAUAAUUCUAAAUUUGAUGUCCAACAGUUAGCCACCCUCCCAUCAUGAUCGAUGACCUCAAUCAUAUUCAAUUAAAUUAAAUAAUUGGUGGUGUGAUUGUGGCCACUUCCAAGCUCUUCGACUUCAUUUUCGUCACAUUAUUGCCAUUUGUUCCUCUUGUCAUUUACAAAUGACGACAUUCGUUGAUCCAGUUUACAGCCUCCACACGGUUAAAAGGGCAUAUCAAGUUGAAUUUCAUUAUGUUCGAAACGAGGAUUAUUGGCUACUUAUACCAAAUGUCAUAUUUGACCCUCACAUGUGACGCAAAGAGUCAAUUGUUGAACAAGAUGCUUUGAUGUCUUCAAAUCCAAGAGGAAAGCUUGAAGACCUUGUUGUUGGGUGUGUGUGUGUUGUCUAGUUGUUUGAAACUUGUUAAUUCACUCCUUAAGAUGAUCCAAGUUCAUUUGAAUCUUUAACCUUUUGAAAAGAUGUGUUUUCUAAAAAGCUGUCAAAAUUUCAAUAGGUUGUUUUACCUUAGUAGUUUUUGAAAAGGUUUUGAAAAACUUGGUUGACUCUGCUGUCAAACCAAAACAAUCGAUUGUUUCGACAAAACAACCGAUUGUUUUCCUGAAAACCUCAACAGAAUUUUGUUAAGCGGUUUUAAUAUGUUUUAAAUGAUCCUAACUAACUUGGCUCCUUUAUUAAAUGCUUUUGACCACUUGGUGGGUCUAUAUAAAUGUGGUUUUACGCUCCUAAUCUUAAAGUAACAGAAAAAGUUUAUCAAAACAGUUUUUCCAUGAUUUGAAAAAGCUUUGGAUCAUUCUUAAGUGUGUGGAAUAGGAUUGGGUUGUAAUUCUGAACUUUAAGCUUUGUAAUACCUAGGUGUAUUCUAUUCCCUUCUUCCUUGAUUACUGUAUUUCUGUAUUUGUGUUGCCAAGGAGUGUUGUGUGUUCUUGAGGGGUUCAAGAUCAACAUUCUUGGUGUGGUUUGCCAAAGGUAGUGUGUUUCUUGAGGGGUUCAAGGUCACUACUUUGGUGUGUGAUGUGUGUAAUCUGGUUUUGAUUGCAUAGUGGAUUACCCAGUGGUUACUAGGGACUGAAUGUAGCUUUUGGUGUAAGAGUGAACCAGUAUAAAUCUAUUUGUGUGAUUUUCUCUUUCCCUGAUCUCACAUAUAUCUAUUUUAAGUUGUUUUUAUUAACUGCUGAUAAAAACAACCGAUUGUUUCGACAAAACAACCGAUUGUUUUUCUGAUAUCAUCUUAAAACAGUUUUGGGUAUUUGUUUCCUUGAUUCUUUUCUCUGUAAUUCAGCAUUGAUUUUCAUUAUACCUUCAAAGUUUGCGAAAAUCCCUCUUAAACAAUUCACCUCCCUCCCCUCUCGUUUAAGACCAUAUAUCCUAACAUCAAUGACAAGUUACAACUUGUUUGCAUAAUGAAAUGGAUCAACCAAUUCAGAACACGCCAAAAAAAUGUUCUUAUUGUCGCAAUGAAGGUCACAACAGAGGAAACUUUCCAUUUAGAUAGUGGAAUAAUCAUUUGUAAUGUUUUUUUCAUCAAAUAUUUUAAUAUCGUCUUCUUUUAAUGACUUAUAUUCAAUAAUUUAAUUUUUUUAAUACAUUUAUUUUAGCAUAAAUAUAUGUAUACUAUUACUUUUUAUGACCAUAAUUCAAAUUUUUGUCACUUGUGUUCUGUGGACAUUGUAAUUUCAAUUAUUCUUAUAUUUUGGAAUAAAAGUAAAUAACAAGAAACACAAAAAGAAAUAAGAAAUAUUAAAGUAAAAAUAUAUUUUUGUUUGGAAAUAUUUUUAAUUUUGAAUACAUAGGAAUAAACAGAUUGAAAAAUAUCUCCAUACUUAUUUUUCUUUUAAUAAUUUUUUCUCAUCUUCUUACUGUUUUUUAAUGAGUGGAAAAGAAAAAAAAUGGUUUUUUUUUCAUGUUAUUUCAAAUCAUAUUUUAUGUAUUCAGAAAAUAUGUUUUUAUUCAAAAGUUUCUAUUUGAAAAUCAUAUUAUAAAAAUUUUAGAUACUAUUGAACACUAAACACUACUAGAAAAAGUAAAUUUUGCUGAAAAAAAAAAAGAGUAAAGGUGAUAGGUGGACACUAAAUAGUGUCAAAUAAGCCUUCACUAUUAAAAAAAUUAAAAUAAAAUGUGAGAAAGUGUGGGUUAUACUCACGCAAACUUAAAAAAAAAUUAAAAAAAAGGUUGCGUUGGUGAAACGGCCAUUACUAAAAGCAUAAAAAUAAUAAAAAUUUAAAAGUUUGAAGGUUUAACCCACGCUAAACAUUUUAAAAUUAAAUUUAAAUAAAUAAUGAAACACUGAAGGUGAAGCCCACACAAAUAAUUAAUUUUUAUUUAUUUGAAAACUUCUUAAUUGUUAAGGUAUCAAAUCAUUUUGAGAAAAUAUUAAACCCUUUUCAGAGCGAGCUUAGCAUUUCCAGGUUUCAAAUCAUUUUGAUAAAAUAUUAAUGCAUUUUCGAGUCACCGUUCAUACAGGGAAUAGUCAACGUUCAUAACGCUUGAGCAUGAGCAGCAGUGCGUGCCACCGUAAUGGAAUAGUGCAUGUCACCGCAAAAAAAAAGUGAAGGUGAUGGUGGACACUAAAUAGUAUCAAAUAAUCUUUCACUAUUAAAAAAACUUCAAAUAAAAUGUGAGAAAGUGUGGGUUAUGCUCACGCAAACUUAAAAAAAAUACAAAAAAGGAUUGCGUUGGUUAAACGACCACUACUAAAAGCAUAAAUAUAAUAAAAAUUUAAAAGUUUGAAGGUAUAGCCCACGCUAAACAUUUUAAAAUUAAAUUUAAAUAAAUAAUGAAACUCUAAAGGUGAAGUACACGUAAAUAAUUAAUUUUUAUUUAUUUGAAAACUUCUUAAUUGUUAAGAUUUCGAAUCAUUUUGAGAAAAUAUUAAUGCAUUUUCGUGUCACCGUUCAUACAGGAAGUAGUCAACGUUCAUACAGGAAGUAGUCACCAUUCAUAGAACUUGAGCUUGAGCAGCAGUGCAUGCCACAAUGAAGGAGUAGUGUGUGCCACCACAAAAAAAAAGGUGAAGGUGGUAGGUGGACACUAAAUAGUAUCAAAUAAGCUUUUACUAUUAAAAAAAUUCAAAUAAAAUGUGAGAAAGCGUGGGUUAUACUCAAGCAAACUUAAAAAUAAAAAUAAAAAAGGUUGCGUUGGUGAAACGACCAUUAUUAAAAGCAUAAAAAUAAUAAAAAUUUAAAAGUUUGAAGGUUUAGCCUACGCUAAAAAUUUUAAAAUUAAAUUUAAAUAAAUAAUGAAACUAUGAAGGUGAAGCCCACGCAAAUAAUUAAUUUUUAUUUAUUUGAAAACUUCUUAAUUGUUAACGUUUCGAAUCAUUUUGAGAAAAUAUUAAUGCAUUUUUGAGUCACUGUUCAUACAGGGAAUAUUCACCAUUCUUAGCGCUUGAGCUUGAGCAGUAGUGCGUGCCACCGUGAUGGAGUAGUGGGUGUCAUCGCAAAAAAAAAGUGAAGGUGGUAGAUGGACACUAAAUAGUGUCAAAUAAGCCUUCACUAUUAAAAAAAUUCAAAUAAAAUGUGAGAAAGCGUGUGUUAUACUAACACAAACUUAGAAAAAUAAUAAAAAAAAGAGUUGCGUUGGUGAAACAACCACUUUUAAAAGCAUAAAAAUAAUAAAAAUUUAAAAGUUUGAAGGUUUAGCCCACAACAUUUUAAAAUUAAAUUUAAAUAAAUAAUGAAACUCUGAAGGUGAAGUACACACAAAUAAUUAAUUUUUAUUUAUUUGAAAACUUCUUAAUUGUUAAGGUUUCGAAUCAUUUUGAGAAAAUAUUCAACCCUUUUCAGAGCGAGCUUAGCAUUUCCAAGUUUCAAAUCAUUUUGAGAAAAUCUUAAUGCAUUUUCGAGUCACCAUUCAUACAGGGAGUAGUCAUUGUUCAUAGUGUUUGAGCUUGAGCAGCAGUGUGUGCCACCGUGAUGGAGUAGUCGUGCCACCGUGAGAACGCAAAUGGGAGUUCCGCAUUUCCUUCCGUUUUCAAUCUUUGCGAGUCUUUGUGGGUUUUCCCCUAGGUUUUCAUCUCGAUUCCUUUCUUUUUGUGUUGUGUAAUUUUAUUUUUGAUUCCUACUCUCGGUUUUUCCCUAACAUCAUGUUAUUGAUUUUUAGUGGUUUGAAGGUAACACCUUAUUUCCUUCUCAGUGGUAUAAGCCAAUUUCGUGGAGAGGUAAAUCCUUUAUAAGAUACUUUUUCUCUUUUGAGACAAUGAGAUAUUAGAGAAUUUGUUUCACCAUAAUUUUAAUUUGUUUCUACCUCUGUGUGUUUUGUAACUGUUCAUUGCUUGUAUAUGUUGGUAGCAUUUUGGAAGGGACAAUAUCUCCAAUUCUUGUUAUGUUUAUCCUUGAAUAUUGGGAAUUAUUUCAAACUUUUAGUUCCCCUGUCCAUUGGGUUUUGUAUUCACCCUGGGUCGUUCAGUACUGCUUGCUAGUCGAGUGAGUUAGUCUCUUGUUUGUUGUCUUUAGUUUUGUCACUCUCCUAGCCCUCUCAUACUCAAAAUCCAGUUACUUCUCAACAUUUAAGUCAAACCAUGGUUCUGUACACUACCUCCCAUUAACUUAUGGACACUGUUCUUUGUUUAUUCUUACUUAGUCACUUGUUUUAAUCAUCUCUGCAAAAUAUAUUCUAAACUCCUUUCACUCAAAUUAAGAAUAAUAAUUGUAUAUGGAAAAUGUGUUCAUUCUCUUGGCCAGUCAAAUGUAAAAGUUAAUUAGCAUUGAGAAAUAAUAGUAAGUUCAAAAGCAUGUACUUACAACUUCAAGAAAAUCAAAGUUUCACAAGUAAUAACAAUAACUAAUAAAGUAGUAUCACAUAUUAAGCUGGCAAUGGUUCAUUAAAUAUGAUUUUAGGAUAAUGAUUAUAUUAAAUUAACAUACUUAUAUAUAUAUAUAAAUAUUAAUUAAAAUAUUCUUUCAAAAUUAAAGAAGACAAAUGUAUUGACAAUUUGAUUGUUUUAAAACUAUUUUAUUUGUGAGUUUUGAGUUUUGAAAAUAAGAAGGGUGUUGUGUUUGGUUAUGUGGGAAUCUUAAUCUGCCAUGAAGAUUGAAAGUUGUGGAUGAAAAGGUGAAUAGAGCAGGGCGUGGAGCCCCCAACCCCACUUGAUUUCUACGAAAUCUAUUUUAUGUGAGAUUCUGAUUUGGCGAUGUUGUUGUAAGCUUUUGCAAAAUACGAAUAAUAGUGAGGGCAAAGAGGAAGAACAUUAAGAAGAUGAGUAAUUGGGGUGAAAUGUUUAAGCAAAAGUGGGAAAAAGUGAAAGAAGGAGUUGAAAAAGAGUUGAUCUUAUCUACUUAUCUGGUAAAUUCUGAUAAACAUGUUGUGUGAGAGUAUGAGGGAAUCUGACAUGUAGCAUUUGUGGCAACCUGAGUCUUUGCUUUUUGGGUGAUUAACAGAGUUUUGGACCACUUCCACAUACCCAUUUCAACUCUUACAUAAUAAUACAUAUGCUUUUAUUUUGUUUGUUUUUACUCAACAUCAGAUAAUAAUAUCUGUUUUAUUUUGUUUGUUUUUACUCAACAUCAUAUAUAAACUCACAGUUAAAAUGUUUUUUAAACAUGAUAUUUGUAUGAAUUAUUCAAAACUAAUCACCACCACACUUCAAUGCAUUGAACACAAACAAGGUUAGUAUUUAUUUUUCUUAUACAAAUAUUAAUUAUUUAAGAUUAAUCUAUCAACAUUAUAUAAAGGAUACAUAUGUUGCUUACUACAGUGUUAUUGUCAUUGUUGUUAGAAAAGAUGGCUUUAAACUAGAGGGGGGGUGAAUGGUUUAAAGGGGUUUUCGCAAACUUUUCACAGCUAGAAUGAACUUAUUUCAGAAACCAAUUGAUUCAGCAAUUCAGUUAGCCAAAACAGCAAGCAAAACUAUAAUACCAUGAAAAACAAUCGGUUGUUUCUUCGAAACAAUCGGUUGUUUAUACCAGCAAACAACAAACAAAUUGAAAUUAAAGAGUUAAGGAUAGAAAGAUUGUACACAGUUGUUUAUACUGGUUCACUCCAACCCAGAGCUACAUCCAGUCUUCUCAGAAACCCUGAGGAAAUCCACUAAGCAACCACACCUUGAUCACUUACAACAACAACCAAGAGAAUGACCUUGAACACCUCAAGAAACACACUCUCCUUGGCCAACACUAAGAUUGCUGAUCUUGAACACCUCAAGAACACACAGCCAAUCUCAGCAACACAUACAAAACAGAAUUGUUCAGCAGCUUACACAGAUUACACUUGUUACAGAUGAAUAUCUGAAAUCAAUACAAGAGAAUCCUAUUCAGCACUUUGAUCAAUCUCUCAACUCUUUUGCAAUCUCAGAAUAUUUGAAAAACUCUUAUUCUAUGAAAACUUUGUUUCAAGAUUCUUAAUAUAUCAAAACUGUUUUUCAGAAUAUAUCUAAGAAUAUAGUUUGUUAUCAAAUCUUAACAAACUCUUAAUUGCAUUUAAAAUAGAUUGGUCAAAGCAUUUAAUGACUGGAGCUUAUUCAGUUAAAGCAUUUAAAGCUCAGUCAAAGAAAACAAUUUUUCUGUUAUGGUUUUAAAACAAACAAUCGAUUGUUUCCUCGAAUCAAUCGGUUGUUUUGUUACUUAACAAAAACACCAUUCAAAAACAGUUUUCAAACUUUCUCAAAACACCUAAGUGUAAACAAUCGGUUGUUUCGACAAAACAAUCGGUUGUUUCAACUUAGUUUGUAAAACAUUUUGCUUUGUUAAAAUUGAGAUGCUAAUUGCUUUGAGAUUUAAUCUAAGUGUUGAUUACAACAUAGAACUACCCCAGAACAAGACUAAAACAGCACAGUAGCAUCAAGCAAAGCAGAGGCUUCAUCAUCCUUCAAAGGAUUUGGAUUCUUCAAAACAUUGAACACCACUUGGUUCAACAAUCUCCCUCUAUUUGAUGAAGACAAAUCCCUGAUGCUUGUGUUGUUCUUGAUUAAAUCUGACGCAGUUUCUGCAAAAGAACUUUGAGCAAUAUUUUGAACUUUCUGAUAUUCUGUUAGUAUACAGAUAAACAAUUUAAAGCUUAAAACAGUUAAUAUCAGAGCCAAACUUCAUGUUACUCAUGUUUUUAACACUAUGAAAAACAGAAAAUUAACAAACUUCAAACACAACAUAUAUCUCCCCCUAUUUGUCUUCACAAAUAGACAAAGAUAAGAGAUAAAAAGAAACAUUGUUCACAUUACAUCAGAAUAAAACAGCAAUAGCAGAAGGAAAGAAAUUUUAAAAACCAGAAACGAGAACAGACAAAAACAAUCGAUUGUUUCGAUUUUCAAUCGGUUGUUUUUCUUCAAUCUUCUUCAUCAGCAAACUGAAGAUCAAAGAUCUGAUUCUGGACAGCUUCAAUCUGUUCUUCCACUGCCAUAAACCUUGCAUCCAUGUUGUCAAACCUUGUGUCAAUCCUUUGAAAGUUGCUAACACACAGAUCAUGAAGGCUCCUUUGAUUUUCAGCAAAGCUAUCAAGCCUAUUCACCAUGAGUCUUUCAAAAGGUGACAUGGUUUGCAUUCUUUCUCUUUGAUUUCCAUCUUCAGUGCUAGGUCUAGCAUCUUGAAAAACUCCAGUUGGAUCUUCAUGUUGAACAUCCAUAUCAGCAGCUUCAUCUGGUUCAAGAUUGGCAGCACCACUUGAUGAGGCACCAUGAUCACCAUCCUUACUUAACCACUUUCCACCUAUUUUUGUGAAGCCCAUCUUGCUGAGUAAUCCAUUGUUCAACUCUUGAGUUGACUUGACCAACUCAGAAGUUUCAUCUUCAAGAUUAACUUCAAAAUAGAGUAGAAACUUAGAUAUUAAAACAGCAUAGGGAUAAUGGUAAUCACCUAACCUCAUGGCUUUUUUGCAUAUGUUCUUUGAUUAUGUGAAUCCAAUUGAUCUUCACUUUCUUGGUAAUGCAGAAGAUAUAAACCAGAUCUUCUUCAGUCAACACAGAGUGAUUGCUCCCCCUAGGAGUUAGGAUCCACGUUACAAUGUGAGCAAGCAGCCUCUCAUCUAGCUUCAAGCCACCAACCGAACAAGUGCUAACUUGAGUUUGAUUAUUCUUCAAGCAACUUUUGUAGAACUGAAUCUUGUUGAAAUCUUCUACCACACCAAGGUUUCCUUUGUUGAUUCUCAGUCCAGAGAACUUGAGUCCAGCUACAACAGCCCAAACCUCAUGGGUUAUCUCCAUCUCCACGCCUUUUACAUGAGAGACCAAGUUAUUUCCCUCAAACUUCAAGUUGGUGUAGAAAACUCUCACCAAAUCUGGAUAUAUGUUACCUUUGAGCUCCAGAAACUUUCUAAGUGACUGGUCUUUGAGAAACUUCCUCACAUUGUCAAGCUUUUGAUCCUUCAGCCAGUUGAAGUACACAACCUUGGGGUUGUUUAUUUUCUUGACACUUGUUUCAUAUCUAUACUUCUCAAUGAGCUCGGUGUCACCAGAAAACCAGCUUUCAAGCCUUCCUCCAAACCUUACAGCUCUGGUUUUGACUCUUUUAGCAGUGGGAGGAGUUGAUUCCAUGAUAGCAGAGAUGAAAACAGAGAAGAGCAGAAAACCCAGAUUUUUCAAGAGAUAGUGCAAGAGAUGUUGCAAUUGGUUGUUCUUGUUGAAAGAAAUUUGCACCUGAUUUUAUAGUAGUAAGAGAAUCAAAUUGAAUUUAAUUUCAUUCAAUGGGUACCUGAUUUUCAAAGAGAGGACUUGACUCUGUUCUGCACUGAAAAUGUCAGAAAAAGCUGAAAAUCACAUGGUCUUCACAUGUGAUCUUUGACUAGUCAUUAAGGCUUUUGAUUUUCCAAGAUUUUGGAAUAUAUUCCUUUAUGACUGUUGUAAAUCCUUUCUGAACGAGAUCAGCUUUCAACACAGAUCCUUUGGCCAAGAUUCUCCCUUUGAAAAAUAUCUACAACAGCUAGAAAUUCAAAAAUCAGUUAAAUCAAUUUCUACACAGUGCUGUCAAACUCAAAACAAUCGGUUGUUUUUCUGCAGUAGUUAAAAACUUGAUUUUUCAAUUUUGUAAUGCUAAAUUGGUUUGGGAAUAACUUAAUCCCAGAAGCUAGCAUAUAAAACCUAAACAUACAAACACACAAUUAUCCUAGGAAGAGAAUUACAAUAAUAGAAAUAGAAAUGGGAAUUAUGGAAAGGGUUAGUUACCAAUGGGAGAUUGCAAAAAAGGAAUUAAAUUUGGGUAGAUGAUGAGAGGGAUAAGAUGAAACAGAGUGUGGUUUCACAUGAAGAUCAAUAAUUUGUAGCUUGACCAUUUAAAGACGGAAUUAUAGAGAUAUAAGUUGGGGACCCACCCAUGAGAAAAAUAGUGUAUGAGGCAUGAUAUAGCAUCCCUCUCACACCACCUGAGCCUGUAUUUUCUGCUUAUUAACCAUCAAUUACCAUUAUCAUUAUAAUAAUAAAAGUGCUCAAAUUUAAGUUAAUAAUAUAUUAUUACUAUUAAUUAGUAUAAAGUUAUGGCCAGAAUAAAUAUUCGGGUUUUAAUUAUUAUUUGUCAUAUAUGUAUGGUAAAAAGAACUACAUGUAUUAUUAUGUGCUUUCUUUAGUAGAUUUUAAGGGCGUGGUUAGUUUAUGAAUGAAAGUAUGGUAUGUGCACAGUGCAUGGUUAGGAUUCUCCAUUAUCAUCAUGGCUGGUUCUUCAAACCACCAAUUUUGUAUUGGAUGCUGUGGAAAUUUGGCUUAUGCAUUAUUUAUAAAGUAAUUUGCUUCAAGUUACUGUUUAUAAAGUAGCUUUUUCUCUAAACAAAAUUUCUGGGGUAGAGGUUCUCGUUAAUAGAAUCUUAUGCUCGAAGGUUCUAGUAAAGAGACAUAAUAAUAGUUAUUAAAAAAUAAAAAUAGCCUACAAAAUUAAACUCACCCAGAGGUUGACCUAUUCACGGUUUUGGUAUCUUAAAAGUGAAAGAAUUCACGAUUUCUUUCUUUUGUCUAGUGAUAAAUUCAUUCUUGAUCCAACAUGUGUUUCAUAUUUUGGGAAAAAUAUCCUUACUAUCAAGUUCAUUACAAACUGAAUUGUGAUAUGGUAUGAUAGUUUUGUUUUAUAAUUCUUAUAUAUCACUACUCAUAGAGUGAUGUUAUAUUGGCUAAUAAUUUAUUCACUACUAUAUACAUAUAUUCUAUGCAGAAAAAUGGAUCAAAAUUGGAUGUAUGAACGACUUGAUCCUUCAAGGAGACUUAGCAAACAAUUCAUUACUGGAGUGAGUGAAUUUGUUUCAAAGGCAAUGGAUCAAACUUUUUAUACUUUAGAAGGAGGGAUAAGGUGUCCUUGCAUAAAGUGUGUCUGUGAGAAAAUUAUUCCACCAUCACAUGUGAGGGCUCAUUUGCUACGAUAUGGUUUUAAACCUAACUACACAGUUUGGGUUCAACAUGGAGAAGAGAUGUUUGUUGAUCAAGAGCUUUGAAGAAUCCAAAUCCAAGGUGUUUGAUGAAAGGCUGAUGUUGUUGUUGUGUGGGGGUGGGAUCUGGGUAGAUUAAAGUGUGAUCCACUCUUUUGUUGAAUCUAAAACUGAUGUGAAUUGAAACCUUUUUUAAAUUAGAUGUUUUUCCAACUAAGUGAAAAACAACUUGUUAUUUUGUCGAAUCAACUUGUUGUUUUGCUCUUAGGGGUUUUGAAAAAGGUUAAAAGUUGUUUGACUUGGUUGACUUAACUGUCAAACCAAAUCAAUCGGUUGUUUCGUGUUUUCAACCGAUUGUUUCUUUAAAAAUCCUAACAGAAUUCAGUUUUGAAUAGUGAAUCUAUCUUAAAUGAUUUCUAACUUAAUACUCUCCUUCAUUAAAUGUUUUUAACCAAUCUUUGGAAAUAUAAAUAGUUUGUUAUAUGUUUCUGAAAAGUAAGAAACAGUUUUGAGAAAUUCAGUUUGACAAAUUUGAUCUCAAGUUUUCAAGAUUCACAUCAAGCUUUGGAUUUUCAAGUGAGAGUGGAAUAGGAUUGCAAUUGUAUUCUUUUCAGUUGUACUUUGAUCAGGUGUAAUCCUUUUCUCAAUCUUCUAUAUUUCUAUUGUUGUAUUGCCAAGGAGUGUUGUGUGUUCUUGAGGUGUUCAAGAUCAAUACUCUUGGUGUUGUUUGCCAAAGGAAGUGUGUUUCUUGAGGGGUUCAAGGUCACUACUUUGGUGUGUGGUGUUUGUAAUCUAGUUUGAUUGCUUAGUGGAUUACCCAGUGGUUUCUGGGAACUGGAUGUAGCUCUUGUUGUAAGAGUGAACCAGUAUAAACUGCUUGUGUGCAUUUCUCUUUCUCUGAUUUCUUUUAAAUUCUGUUUUUAAGUUGUUUAUAAUUUUACUGGUAUAAACAACUGAUUGAAUCGAAGAAACAACCGAUUGUUUUUCUGUGUUUUUCUUUAAAACAGAUUGUGUUCUUUGCUAACUUUAUUCCUCUUCUGGAUUUCUUCACUGAGUUUCAUUAAACCUUCAAAAGUUUUCGAAAAUAUCUUAUAAACAAUUCACCCCCCCACCCCCCCUCUUGUUUAAGGCCAUAUAUUUUAACAAUGUCAAGUGAGGACAAUGUUGGUUAUGCAUCCAGUAGCCAUGGAAGAAUGAAACUUGUUGAUAACAUUGGUUCAAUGACAUAACAAGUCGUUAUAGUCACAUGAAAAACGACGAUGAAUAUGUAGAAGAGUCAUCUAAUGCAAAAGCCCAAAGGUUUUAUGAUAUGUUAGCAGCUGCAAAUGAACCCAUUUAUGAUGGUGCUACCGAGUCAAAAUUAUCAAUAGCCAUCAGACUACUAGCAGCUAGAACGAAUUGGCAUACACCUGAAAAAUGUUUAGACCAUUUCAUAAAAUUGUUAGUUGAUGUAGCUCCCAAAGAUAAUUUCAUACCAAAGAACUACUACGAAGCUAAAAAAAUUGUGUCAAGUCUUGGAUUGAAAGCCCAAAAAAUUGAUUGUUGUGAAGCUGGAUGCAUGUUAUAUUACAAGGAAGACAACCAUUUAACUGAAUGCAAAUUUUGUCAUCUUCCUCAGUAUUUUCCUCCUAAAGGUAAGAAGGGAAGAUACAAACAAAUUCCAAGGAAGAGAAUGUUUUAUUUGCCAAUCAUCCCAAGAUUACAAAGACUGUAUGCAUCAGUAAAAUCUGCUAAUCAAAUGAGAUGGCAUUUUGAAAACAAAAAAGAAGAUGGCAUACUGUGACAUCCAUGUGAUGGGGAAGCUUGGAAGCACUUUGAUAAGAUAUAUCUGAAUGUUGUUGUUGACCCACGACAUGUGAGACUUGGUUUAUGUUCUGAUGGGUGCACUCCUUAUGUCCAAGCUUCAACAUCCCCAUAUUCUUGUUGGCCUGUAUUUCUUACUCCUUAUAAUUUGCCCCCUGAAGUGUGUAUGACCAAACCAUAUAUGUUUCUAACUUGUCUCAUACCUGAACCAAGUAACCCAACUAAAAAAAUAUAUGUCUACUUGCAACCUCUUAUUGAUGAUCUUAACCAAUUGUGGAAUGAAGGUGUAAUGACAUAUGACAUCUCUACAAGAGAAAACUUUGUCAUGCGAGCUUGCUUGAUGUGGACAAUCAAUGAUUUUUCAGCUUAUGGCAUGUUGUCAGGAUGGGGGACUAAAGGGAAAUUAGCAUGUCCUCGUUGUAUGGAGAACACGAAAGCUUUUACAUUACCACAUGGUGGUAAAAGUAGUUUGUUUGACUGUCAUCGUCGAUUCUUGCCUACUGAUCAUCCAUUUAGGAGAAGCAAAAGGAGAUUUACGAAAAAUAGGACUAAGUCGGAUGGGACUCCUAAUUUCCUAAAUGGAGAGCAAUUGUGGGAAUUUAUUCAAGACUUUCCAAAGGUGAAUGAUGGUCUAUUUGAUACCUUAUUAGGGUAUGAACAAUAUCAUAAUUGGACAAAAAGAUCAAUCUUUUGGGAUCUGCCAUAUUGGAAACACAAUUUGCUAAGACACAAUCUUGAUGUCAUGCAUAUUGGAAAAAAAAAUUGAUAAUGUCUUCAAUAUUGUGAUGGAUGUCAAGGAUAAAACAAAGGACAAUCACAAGGCAAGAAUGGAUGUUGCUGAAUUUUGUGGACAUGGUGACUUGGAAUUGGUUCAGUUACGAAAUGGGAAGUUAGAAAAGCCAAAGGCAAACUACACUUUCACAAAAAAAAAGAUGCAAAAUCAAUUUAUAAAUGGAUUACAAAGUUAAAAAUACCUGAUGGAUAUGCCUCUAACAUUGCCAGGUGUGCAGACAUUGAUAAAGAGAGUAUGCAUAGUAUGAAAAGUCAUGAUUGUCAUGUCUUCAUGAAGUGUUUACUACCAAUUGCAUUUCGUUCAUUACCAGAAAUUGUUUGGAAUGCAAUAGCUGAAAUAAGUCGAUUUUUCAUAUAUUUAUGUUGUAACUCUUUAAGGAUGGAUGAUUUAUAUCGAAUGAAAGGGAAUAUAUCUAUCAUUAUAUGUAAAUUGGAAAGAAUCUUCCCACCAGGUUUCUUUGAUUCAAUGGAACACCUGGUUAUUCAUCUUCCUACUGAGGCAAUACUUGGUGGUUCUGUCCAAUACAGAUGGAUGUAUCCAUUUGAAAGGUAAUCACCCAAUCCUCAGUUUUAUUGUUCAUAAUUAUUGUUCAAUACUUAAAACUUGACAUGUGGUGUAGGUUGAUGAGAGAUGCAAAAUGAUCAGUGGCUAAUUUAGCAAGGGUAGAAGGUUCAAUAUGUGCAUUCUACUUACACCGUGAAAUAACUUAUUUUUGUUCUCAUUAUUUCCAACAUGUAAGCUUGUUGUCAAAUACAAGUUUGAGAAAUGAUCCUCGGACUAGUUCAAAUGAGGGAGUUGAAUCAACAUUGUUCGUUCUCAACAAAUGUGGUCGUCCUAGUGGAUCAUGCAAAGAAUAUUGGCUAAAUGAUGAUGAAUAUCAUUCUGCCCAUGUAUAUAUCCUCAUCAAUUGCAAUGAAGUUAAACCAAUACUUGAGUAUGUUAACAACAACACAAUUUGUAUUGAUUAUGUUUAAAUUGAAGUUUAUGAUUGAUUACUUAUUUAUUUCAAGAUUGUUCUUACAAGUUAACAACAACAACGAAGAGGGAUAUUGAACCUAGUAGUUGUAGCUCUACAAGUCUGUAAUUGGACUGAGAGACAUCACAAUUCAGUUUGAAAAGAUCAUUUUGAGGUAAACUCCAACUUUGUUCCAAGAGACACACUUUAGAAAUAAUAUUGUGAGAGUGUAUUGCUAACACUGCCUUAGAUUCCAAUUUGUUGUUUUGUUUGCAUCUCCAAAUCAUUUAUUAAACUAAAUGCAGGUUUCAAAGGAGAUUAAGUAUGCUGACAAGCAGUCAAUUCUACCUUGGGGACCAAGGUUUGGUGUUGCUUCUUAUGAUUAGUGACAAUGCAGUUUUGUUGUUGUAUAUUGUUAUGGCUACUGUUAGUUUACUUUAAUGGAUGAUUUAAGAUUUAACUUCUCUAGGUUGACAUGUUUCCUAUCUAGUAAUCAAAGUCGGGAUGUCUAUAGGUUGCUUUACCGUAUGGCAGUUAUCUCCCCAUUAUAAAAUGAUCAGAAAGUAUAAGUUUCUGCCAGUUGGAACCUUAUAUAGCUCAACUUUUGUGUCAUCAAGUUACUAUUUUUUAAAGUGUGUUUUAUGUUUUUCUUGGUAUUUUGAAGAGUGUGAAGGUAAGCUUGUCUUGGUAUCUACCAGUUAUGCACCAUUUUAUUGUUCCUCAUUUUUCAUAAAAUAUUUAUAGCUCAACCUUAGUUAAUUAAAGUAACUUUAGUUCAAUUUCAAUCAAAAUAUCUUCAAUCAAAAAUCACCGUUAUCACGUUUCUACCUUUGUAUUUUGGUGCAUGCAAUUGGUUUAACUACUAAGUUCAAAGUGCAAACAAAGCAAAAUGUCUUGCCAAGUUAAUUAGAAUUGGACAAUAUAUGAAAAUACUACUAUCUAUUGGUUGGGGCAACCCACUUAUCCUAAUUAAUAUAUGUUUUUCCUUGAUGGAUCAGUUGCAUGGGGCAGUUGUCUUUUCUAAAAUAGAUCUGCGCUCAGGUUAUCACCAAAUUUCAGUGAAAGCGGAAGAUGUUCAAAAGACUACUUUUAGAUCAAGGUAUGGUCACUAUGAAUUUCUGGUCAUGCCAUUUGGUGUGACCAAUGCUCCAACUAUCUUCAUGGUUUAUAUGAAUCGGAUAUUCUGACCUUUUCUUGAUAAGUUUGUGGUAGUGUUCAUAGAUGAUAUCUUGAUCUAUUCUCGUACAAGGGAAGAACAUGCAGAACAUCUUAGAACUGUCCUGAACAUUUUGAGAGAAAGACAGUUAUAUGCUAAACUUUCAAAAUGUGACUUCUGAAUGUCAGAAAUACAAUUUUUAGGACAUGUCAUCUCUGCACAGGGAAUAUCAGUAGAUCCUUCUAAAGUGGAGGUUGUACUUCAGUGGGAGCGUCCUAAAACAGUUACAGAAAUUAGAAGCUUUGUCGGGUUAGCAGGAUAUUACAGGAGAUUUAUUGAAGGCUUUUCUAAAAUAGUGGCUCCUUUGACCCAAUUUACUAGAAAGGAUCAUCCUUUUGCAUGGACUGAACAAUGUGAGAGAAGCUUUGAAGAGUUGAAAAGAAGGUUGACUAAUGCUCUUGUAUUGACAAUCCCUGAUACCAAUCAAUCUUUUGAAGUUUUCUGUGAUGCUUCCUAUCAGGGAUUGAGUUGUGUUCUGAUGCAAAAUAAGAAAGUUGUUGCCUACGUUUCUCGUCAGUUAAAGGUGCAUGAAAGAAACUAUCCAACUCAUGAUCUAGAAUUGGCAGCAGUUGUCUUUGCUUUAAAAAUAUGGAGACAUUUUCUUUAUGGAGUUAGUUUUGAUGUGUUCAGUGAUCAUAAAAGCUUGAGGUAUUUGUUUGAUCAGAAGGAGCUUAAUAUGAGGCAGAGGAGAUGGAUUUAAUUUUUAAAAGACCAUGAUUUCCAGCUAAUAUAUCAUCCUGGGAAGGCAAAUGUUGUUGCAGAUGGGUUGAGUCGUAAAAAGAUACAAAUGUCGUCACUUAUGAUUAGAGAGCUAGCAUUGAUUGAAGAUUUCAGGAGUAUGAAUUUGGAGGUUUCCAUGUCUUCAAAUUGCACUAGUUGUAAUACACUUGUUAUAACUAAUGAAUUUCUGGAGAAGGUGAAGGAGAAGCAGUUGGAAGAUUCAAAAUUGAAGAACUUCAUGGGCUUAUUUAAUACUGACAAAGCUAAAAACUUCUCUUUAGGAGUGGAUGGUAUUUUGAGAUUCAAAAAUAGAAUAUGCAUACCAGAGGAUAAUGAACUAAAGCAAACAGUGUUAUCUGAAGGUCAUAAAAGCAAACUCAGUUUACAUCCAGGAAUGACCAAGAUGUAUCAAUUCUUAUUGGUGGCAUGGCAUGAAGAAUGAUGUAGCUAAGUUUGUAGCUGCUUGCUUGACUUGUCAGAAAUCAAAGAUUGAACAUCAACGACCUGGAGGUAUGUUAACUCAGUUAGACAUUCCAGUGUGGAAGUGGGAUAGUAUCUCAAUGGAUUUUGUUACCCACUUACCACGUACUUUGAGGAAGCAUGACUCUAUUUGGGUCAUAGUGGAUAGGUUGACAAAGACAGCACACUUCCUACCUAUAGACUUGAGAAUCUCUAUGCGAAAGUUGGCCCAGAUUUACAUAGAUGAAAUAGUCAGAUUGCAUGGUAUACCCUCCAGCAUAGUUUCAGAUAGAGAUCCUAGAUUCACCUCCAGAUUCUGGCAAACACUUCAAGAAGCUUUGGGGACUAAACUUAGACUUAGUUCAGCAUACCAUCCUCAGACUGAUGGACAAUCAGAGAAAACUAUCCAGUCGUUAGAGGAUUUGCUUAGGACUUGUGUGUUAGAUCAUUUAGGCAGUUGGGAUGAAAUUCUACCUUCGGUAGAGUUCACUUACAAUAACAGUUACCAAGCUAGCAUAGGAAUGGCUCCUUUUGAGGCAUUGUAUGGAAGGAAGUGCAGGACACCUUUGUGCUGGUUUCAGGAUGGUGAAAGUGUGUUAAUUGGACCCGAAUUAAUACAACAAACCAAUGAGAAAGUCAAAAUGAUUCAGGAAAGAUUAAAAACAUCUCUCAGCAGGCAAAAAUCUUAUGCAGAUCAAAGAAGAAGACCUUUAGAAUUCUCUGCGGGUGAGCAUGUCUUUUUUAGAGUUACACCGUUCAUUGGUGUAGGAAGAGCACUCAAAUCCAAUAAAUUGACUCCUAAGUUCAUAAGACCUUACCAAAUUCUCCGGAGAAUAGGCCCUGUGGCUUAUGAAAUUGCUUUGCCUCCCUCUUUAGCUAACAUUCACAAUAUUUUCCAUGUAUCCCAACUAAGAAAGUAUGUAUUUGAUCCUAGCCACAUUCUAGAGUCUGAUUCCAUCCAAGUGAAAGAAAAUCUAUCAUUUGAAGUGAAGUCAAUCAGAAUUUUAGAUUCACAAGUGAAACAACUUCGUGGAAGGAGUAUUCCCAUGGUGAAAGUAUUGUGGGAUCUCAUGUCCGGAGAUUCCACUUGGGAAAUUGAAGAGGAGAUACGAGCAUCAUACCCUAACCUCUUUCUUGGUAAGUUCAUUUUCGAGGACGAAAAUUUUUGUAGUUGGAGAUAAUGUAAGAACGUUAAAAAAAAAAGAAUAAAAAAGAAUAAAGGUGCAGAGAAGCCCCUUCUCCCCCACCACAGUUUUUUUUUCUUCUUUCUCUCUCUCUCUAUAUUCUCUUCUCUCCCUCUCUCCUAAUUUUCUCUCCCAAUCUUCAUCUAUUUUAGAAUCUGAUCGUACCAUUUUGUAGCUGAGGAGUUAAGGAACAUUUCUACCCGAUCAGAUUUUCAAACAGAGUAAGUUCAUUUUUUACUCUAAAUAUCCUUUGUUCUCUGUUUUUCCUUAGGAUUUAGUCAUCAAUCUUGGUAGGGUCAGUUGAGAAGUUUAAUCCUCUCAACUUAUUCUACUAUAUACUAAAUUUUUGUUCUGUUUGGAUAACUUGCAUUAGGCCCGUAAAUCUUGAAGCUUAUCCAGACUGUGGGGAAUAAAAUUCUAAAAGUUGCUUGGAAAGCAAGCAAUUGAGGUAAGGGAAGCUAAAUUUAAUUUUUAAUAGCACCCUAGGAUAGGAUAUCUGAAUGCGAAAGGGACGUGGUCCCAAUAUUGAAUUUCUCUUGCAGGGGUAUUAUUUGUUUAUAUAUUAUUUAAACUUUAUAAAUAUUGUUUUUGACGUUGGAAAAUUUUUGAAUGAUAUGUAUUAUAUACGAAUGACGUAAAUUGUAUGAAAUUGAUGUCAUACAUUUGGGAUAAUGUAUGAGUUGUUGUUUGAUGGUACGUUAAGUAUGAAAAGCCUAUGUUUAACGGAGAUCCUCUGGCUUCACUAAUGAUCUAAGUCAUGUAGACUAAGAUAUUAGGUGGUGAGAAGAUGAGAGGGAGUUCAUACACACUGGGUUCCAUUGUAGACACUCGAUAUUGGAUGUUUGAACUUACCCUGAUCCUUUCUAUUGGAUUCGCUGGUAAUCUUUGGGUCAGGUGUUAGUCUCUGGUAGGGGCAUACUUAAUUAGUCUUCCGGAAGAUGAAGUGGGAUUGAAAUGAAAUCCAAUGAUUAUGAUUGAAAAUAGAUCCAUGUGUGGUCUAUAUGAAUGAUGAAAUUGGUAUUGAAAUUUUACAUGAAAUCAUUUAAAGAAAUGUUUAUAAAUUAUUAGUCUAAAUUGGUUCUAUUUCUAUGAAUUAUGUUAUGGAUUUUCUUUGCACUAGCUUACCCUUGAUUUUCGUGUUGUGUUUGAACUGUGAUGACUGUACUAUGUACACAAGCAGAUGACCAUACAGGUGUAGGAGAGCCUUAGAGGUUUCAGAGUUUUAUUUGAGCUAUGGAUAUGUAAAUAUUUGUAUUUCUAUAAAUCCUAAUCAUGUAUUAGGAAUGUUUUGAAAAACUCCAAGUUUGUAUAGAAUCUGGUAGAACUUUUAUUGUAAUAGUUAUAUGUAAAUUAUGGGGUGUUACAAAACUCACGCUACUUUAGAAAUGUGUGGACAUCUCGAAGGCUAAGCCCACUCUAUUUUAAAUGAAAUAUAAUUUUGUGUAGGCGAAACGUCCAUCAAACCCACUAUUUUUUAUAAAUUUGUCAACUCUUUGUAGACUAAGCCCACACUUGACUUACACAAAAAGCACCCGCCAAUAUCUUUACGUCAACUACAUUAGCUUCGAAAUUUCCAUUAACGCUAUGCCCACAAUAAAUAACCUUUUGCGUAGGUUUUUUAUAGUUAGGGUCGGUGUUUGGCCAUUCUAAUCAACAUUUUUUUUUGUAGCGAAAAGAGUUGUUUAUAUUUUCACCAAUGGUUAGAUCAAAAUUUAUUCUAUGUUCUAAGGUUUGUGAAUAAUUUCUCAACCAUCAUUUCAAGAGCACUAAAGGCCGUGAUUAUAAAUGGAGAACUAUGGUAAUAUAUCAUUAAAGAUUUAAAUAUCUCUUUGUGGUCUUUUGAUUUUACUUAUUAUAGAAAAAAAUUGUUUUUAGUUCUUUUAAACUUUAAAAUUGUUAUUUUUUUAUAUCUUUAGUGUUAUAUGACACUGAUUAACUAUUUAUUGAAUGAUAAAAAAACUCAAGUGACUAUUCAAGCGACACACAUGACUUAUUAUAGCUAAUUUGUAUGAGAAAAGUCUUUGAUAUCUUAGAGAUUUGGGAAACAAAUGCACAUAAUUAAUUACCUUGAAUAUAUAGGCUAGAUGUAUAUGAUGCUUUUAAUUUCUGGAUAAUAUAUCUUAGUACACUCCAAGCACCAUUGCAUGAGUAUUCAUGUUACAAUGAUUUCUUUUGCUCAUUUGUGUCAACACAUUUCCUUAUUCAAGUGAGUUUCUUUUAUUUCUAUUCCAUUUUCUUCUAAUUUGGUGGGUUAUAUUUCAAAUUAACUUAUUUGUAAUGUUUAUGGAAUUUUUAAUUUGAGAUGGUGUAUAUAAACUGUUUAGAAGCAUAAAUAUAAGGUGUUAUGUUUCAGAUUGUAAAAUACAUAAUGCUUUUAUAUAAAUACAAAAAUGUUUUAUGGAUGCAUUCAAAAAUUCAUAUAAUGCUUUUAUAGAUACAAAAAUGUUUUAUAGAUGCAUUCAAAAAUUCAUAAAGACAUAAGACAUUCUGAAUUUUGAAAUCAAAAUGUAGAAAAUGCAUUAUGAUAUUUGCUAUCUUAUCUUUAUUUGAUAUUUGUCAUCGACAUGGAAUCUUCUUAUGCAUUUCUUGACGUACACUUGAAUAAAAGCUUGAUGUAGCUAGUUUUAUUAUUGAAUAUUUCUUGCACUUCAAAAAUUGUUUUAAUAAGAAAAUAAUUCAAAAAAUUUAUUGAAUAUAUAACAUUGAAUUUUUUCAAAUACGUAUUGUACAAUAUAUUAUUUUCAUAUAAAAGAAGUUAGUUUAUAAUCAUUUGAUGUGAAAUAUUUUUAUACUUGGAUUCUGAAGUUGAUGGUAUGAAUUUAAUAAAUUUAAAAAAAAAUUAUAUAAUAUAUCUUUGUUACAACUUGUUUAUGUAAGACAAAGUUUAAGGAUAUAUAAACAUACAUAAGAUGUUGAAACUGUUUGUAUCAUUAAAUGGACUAGUUGUCCUACCUCUAGCACAAAACACAUAUUUGUUCAAAUAAUAAACACAUAUAUGAAGAUACUUUAGUCUAAGUAUGUCAUUAAAGCUCUUCUUAAAGAGUCCACUAGCGUUAGGUUGUCUAUAUGAGCUACAUAGAAGUUAGAUCAUCUAUGUUCUCAACAAAGUUUUGAUGAUAGCUAAUGUUGAAUGAGCUAUAUACAUAUUAUUACAUACAGGAACAUUUUAAUGUGUGUAAGUUAAAGCUCAUGAGACUAUCCAAUGGUCACUAUCAAUAUUAAAUGCUACAUGAAGUUUUACAUAUUAAGGUUAAAACUUAUAUCUAACUAAAUUGUAAUCAUAAAUUAUUUCUAGAGAUAAAAUGAAUCUUGGUAAAUUUGUAGUGUCACAUACGUCUUUAAUGAUUAAAUGCAACAUGCAAACGUAGAAUUUAUAUUCUAAAAUGUUCAUAUUAGAAUAUAAAAAAGAAAACAAAAGAAACAUAUUUUGAUUUACAAUUAUAUUGUAUUAUGUUUUUAUUACAUGUAUUUGAAAUGUUUCCUUAUGAAAAUAAGAAAGAGUUAAAGAGUAUAAAGGUUUUUUAUAAAAGUUUCUAGUCAACCCAUGUUAAGGGCCAUGUUAAGGGACGCAAUGCGUAAUCCACAUAGAUGAUAAAAGCUUAUUUCAAAGGAUUCAAACAAAAUAAGAUUGAAGCAGCGAUUAUCUUCAAAUGGUCUAUAUAAAGGAUUCAAGUUAUAUGUGAAGUACGUACAAGAGUUGUACAUUUUUCUAAGACUCAUAAUUUGCUAAGUGUUCUUUGUGGGUGAUGUGAUUCCAAUAACAUGAAAGAGAUAUGAUAUGGACAUGUUAUGGAUUCAACAAGAGUUGGAAUAUGAUUAGGCACUUUUUAAGAAUUGGAUCAAUGUUCUUAACAUUCAAGAACUCACCAAAACACAAGUAACCAAGCCAAACUCACAUAGAAACCCAUAAUAUGGCAUAUGAACCGAUUAAAACAAGAAAGAACACAAAUGAACCGAUUAAAACACAAGGAAACACAACCAAAACCACAAGAACAGCAAACUAGAAGAAACUACCGAACAAAAACACAAAACAAAACUAUUUCUACCGAUUGAAAAGACAAGAAACAUCAAAGACAUGUUUUAGAGUUUGUUUUGGAAUGGAAAUGGAUGAAGAAGAUGAAAAGAACUAGGAAACUUAUGUGGUUGUAGCUCUUGAAGAUGUGCACGCCACUUGAAGGAUGAAAGGCUUCAAGAUGAGUGUAGUUGCCGCCACUUGAGAGUCCAAGAAUGCACUCAAGAUAAGACUAGAAGAGAAGAAGUUACAAGUCUCUCUCAAUUCACUCACCAAUUUGGGAGAGGUUCUUUUCUCAAAAAAUCAAUUCUUAUUAUUUCAAAGACCUAAGCACCCUUUUUAUAAUAGAGAGGGUUAGUCACAAAGUACAAGAAAAGCUUACAAGAGAAGCUUUUGAAAGGUCACCUUCCUACUCCUUCUAUUCUAGCGCCUAAAGGAGUGUGAAGAGACAACUUUCUAGUUUCUUCCUAAAAACUAACGCCUAAGGUACUUACAAAAGAGGUGUCUUUUUGGUUUCCCUCUUAGUACCUUCCUAAACACUACUCCUAUAUGUUUUACAAAUUUAUACAAAAGAAAUUACAAAGAAAAAUAUUAAUUGGAGCCCAUUCUUGAAUUCUUGUUGGCUUUGGGCUUGAUCCUCUCUUUAUUUAAUUCUUCUUUAAUUUUUUAGAAGACUAGAAGGAAGAACUUUAAAUGUUUGGGUGGAUGGCCUCUUCCUCCAUUAGUAAAAUCCUCUCUUACUUGAUCUCCAUCAGUGGGUGAGCUAAACCUUUAUAUUUCUUUACUCUGUGAAGUAAAUCUUGUGAGCUUAAAUUAUUCUCCUUUUUAGAGUUCUUUGUUACUUGUUUUAAGGUCUAGAUCUUAAUCUUAGACAGAGACUAAGACAGGAUAACCGGAAAUAGUUUGUAUACUCAUUGUAAUAAUUGUUUGAUUAAUGAAACUUCAUAAGAAGUUGUCUUAAGGAAAAAUUAAAUGCAACAUGUGAGUUUGGAUAAACCGGUGUAAAACUACUUUUUAUUGUUUUGAUUUACUAAUUUCUCAUACAAUCUAAUCUAAUUGUUAGCAUAAAGUUUUAUUUAACCUCCCAUUCUAAAGUGAAUUAUUACAACAUAUUUCAUUUAAGAUAAUUAAUUAUUUGAGCAUCUUGAACUUACUCUUAAACUUUUGAAACUCAAAAUAAUGAAUAAUAUAUAAAAAUAAUCAAUUAUUUUAUUCUUAGUAUUCUCCAUCACUAUUUUUUCUCAAAUGAUUUACAAAAUCAUACUUAACCAUACAACACCAACAUUCUAUAACACUUAUUACCAUACAUAUACACAUUUUAAACAUAAAAACAAACCCAUUUCAUAACCACUAACUUAAACAUAUGAUGGAACGUUCAAUCAUUAAGUUGAAUUUUCUAACGUGCUACAAUAUUUAGUUGCAAUCAUAAUGUAUGGUCAUGUUAAUACUAGCCUUCAAAAAAUAAAUGAUUGUGAUUAUACUGUAAUAAAACUAAAAACAAUAAAAUUAAACACAUAAACAGUACUUAUAACAUACCAUCCAAAAAUAAUUAUUUUUAGUUGGUUUAUAUUAUUAAAACCUCUCAUUAUUCAUCAUGUCAUUAAUAAUUUUUUUUAAAUGAGUUCAUUCUUAUAAAACAUCAUAUCUAACAUUACUUGAAUAACAAAAUGAACAUCGAUGUUCAUAUUAAUAAUAUUAGGUAUAAAUCAAUACAAGCCAACAUGAGAACUUGUUUUAUUUUUAUAAUCACCUUUAUUUUUACUAUCUCCUGUUACUUGAUUUCCCAAAUAUAAUUGUCAUACAUAAAAAGAAUAACAUUCACAUUAUCUAACAUAUGAUAGCUUACACUUUGUAGGUCCUACAAAUCUACUAACUUGAGAUUUUAUUUAUUUAUUUUAACCUUAUUUAUUGAUGCCCAUAAAAAUAUGUUUAAAGUUUACUUUUGAUUGUCACUUUAUGUAUGAUAUAAAUGAAUUAGUUUAUAUACUUGUAUGUGAUAUAUUUUGAUAAAAUUGGAUAUGUGAUAUAUUUUGAUAAAAUUGGAUUAUUUAUAUUUUAUAGCUUUAUGUAUGAUAAAAUGUUAAUGAUUGUUUUAAAAUUAAUGAAAUAACGUAUUCUGAUUUUAACCGUUUAUAUAUUUUGACCUUGGAAUUGACAUUAUCCAUUCUGAUUUCAAAAUUAAACUUCUAAUCGCAUGUUUUUGUAAGAUUAUUCUGAGUUCAUCAUACAAAAUAUUUUGCAUGUUUAAGAAUAUCUACCAAUUAUACCACAAUAUGAGUACAGAGCACAGAGAAAGUUAUAAUUAAAUUCAUUGAAAAAUGUAUACAGAUUAAAACUUAUAUAAAUUUUAAUAUUUUGCCAACAAUCACUAUAACAAAGUCCCACAUCAUGAAGCAAGGUAAACUAUUAGUAUUAGCAAGUAACAUUUCUUACUCAUUCUUCAUCAUCCACCACAAGUGUUAUAAAGAACCUAUUGUUCUAUUCAAACUCAUAAAUAUCACAUAAAUAUAAAAACUUAGCAUAUCAUAGUAUGAUACAUCAUCAUACAUGCUUUCCACACCUCUAUACCCCUCCGAGUCGCGCGGCCAUCAACCUCUACUCUCCACCGAUGGACGAUUUCAACCGUCUAAUCCCUAUAGCGGUCGUCAUGCCUGUGGCGGCCGUCGAGCAGUCAUCCUUAUCGGUUCUAGGGGUGACUUGCGUUUUUCAAGGGCAGUGAAUUUCAACCUGCCCCGAACACCAAGGACCUCAUCCGAGCGGUCCCUGAGGACGACCUCCUCGACGGUGACGUCGAGAUGAUGUGUCGUGGCCUUAUACUGACCUGCCACGGGGUGGAGGCACACAGGCGGCGUAUUGAGGAGCUCUCGCGCCUCGAGCAUCAGCUUCAGAAGGCGUCCGACAACUUGAAGCAGGUUGUUGAGGCCAACAUAGCUUAUGAGAAGAAGUUGUGUGCGCAAGCUGCCAAGUUGGAGCUUGGUGCGGCCCGGAUGACCAAGUUGGAGAAGGUUGAAGCUGAGAGGGCGACUGAGAACGCUCGGCUAAGGAGGGCCCUGGAAGAGGCCGAGCGCAAGGGGGCAUCUCUAGAAAGAGAGGUUUUUUUUGCAUCAAGGGAAGGAGGCGGCAGAGGCUGAGGUGCUUAAGACCAUGGAGGACACCAUGGUCUUGAUUACUCAGAGCUUCGACCUGGCCGUCCGACAGGCUGGGGUGUUGUACGGUGGGCUUCAACCUUCUGGUCAAUUCGACCAAGAGAUGGAGGUCUUUGACGACCGAUUGGUCCCCAUGAGCGAGGUCCAGAAUUUGCAGAGCGCUGUCCAGCCUGCCUCGAGCGAGGAUGCUGAAGAUCAAAGCUUAGGUUUAUAGGUUUUGUAACCUCGUUCAUUUUGUUUCCUUGAGGCCUGAGUGUGGCCUCCACCUUUUGUUGAUGAAUAGAAUUGGUCAUUUUUGCUUUCAAGAAUUUGCAUAGGUUAUUUCCCUCGGUGGGUAUGAGUGUGAGUUAAAAACAACCAACCUAAUUAACCCCACUGGUGUAAGUUAAUCUUCUCGGUCGUUUAAAAAGUAAAUCAUUUAACGAAUUGGAUUGGGAUGGCGGUCGGCCUUUGAAGCAUAACGAGAUAACGAACAUGUAUUUGGACAAGUUAAAUCACUCGUCAGGUUGGUUCCACGUUCGGUCGUGAUGAGCGAUAUUAGAUGGAUCGAGAUACUCAAAUGGGUAUCGAGAGGAGGUGCAGGUUAAGGCUACAUCCUAACUGAACCGUGCAGUGCUGAAAGGGUAUGCUAGUUAAGGCUACGUCCUGGCCAACACUCGUAUUUGGGUCUCGGGAGGGUAUGUCGGUUAAGGCUACAUCUUGGGCGAACCGUGAAGUGUUGGGAGGGUAUGCCGGUUAAGGCUACAUCCUGGCCAACACUCGUGUUUGGGUCUCGGGAGGAUAUGCCGGUUAAGGCUACAACCGUGAAGUAUUGCGAGGGUAUGUUGAUUAAGGCACGUCCUGGCCAACACUCGUGUUUGGGUCUCGGGAGGGUAUGUCGGUUAAGGCUACAUCCUGGCCGAACCGUGAAGUGUUGGGAGGGUAUGCUGGUUAAGGCUACGUCCUGGGCAAAACUCGUGUUUUAGUCUCGAAAGGGUAUGCCAGUUAAGGCUACAUCCUGGGCGAGUCGUGCCUCUUAGGUUGAUUUUACGAUUUACACAUUAUUUGAAGAAAACGCCUUAUCAAAACCUCUUUGACCGUUGGUGCUGCCGGGCGAGGAAAGAGUGCAUGAAUUUAUUCAUCAUUCAGCUGAAAUAAAAUUUGAGGUGUGUGGCAUUCCACGUCCUUGGUACAAUUUUGCCUGAUAGCCGUUCUAAAUGGUAUGCUCCCCCUACUCCUACUUCUCGAACCCGAAACGGUCCCUCCCAGUUUGACGAAAACUUGCGUCCAACUUCCUAGCGUCGCUUUGCAUCCUCUAGACGAGGUCACCUUUGUGGAAGCUCUUUGGUUGAACCUUCGUGUUAUAUCUUCUUGCCGCCCGAAGUUUGCAAGCGGCUUCGCGGAUCUUGGUUUUAUCACGAAGCUUAUUGAUGAGAUAGAGUCCGACCGCCAAGCUUUCCUGAUUAAGGGAUAAGUCAAACAAUUGUUGCCUGAUGGACGGUUCACCCACUUCCACCGGGAUAAUGGCCUCGGUGUCGUAGAUAAGGUUGUAUGGUGUCUCUUGUGUCGUCGUCUGAGGUGUGCACCGAUAUGCCCACAGAACCUCAACCAGGUCUUCUGCCCAUCUUCCCUUUGUCGCGCCAAGUCUCUUCUUCAAUACAUUCAAGAGGACUUUGUUGGCCGCCUCGACUUGGCCAUUUGUACGAGGGUGUUCGACCGAGUUGGUCACAGACUUGAUGUCGAGGUCCUCAUAGAAUGUCUGGAGCCCUCGGUCAAUGAAUUGUUGUCCAUUAUCUGAUACGAUCAUGUUUGGCAGCUCGAACCUGCAGACGAUGUUCUUCCAAACAAAAUUUUGGACGUUUCUGGCUAAUAUGGGCACUGGGGGUUUGGCCUCUAUCCAUUUCGUGAAGUAGUCCACUGCAACCAACAGGUGUUUCGUCUGACCUUUGCCAGGUGAGAAAGAGUCGAUGAUGUUCAUUCCCCAUAUGGCAAACGGUUAGGGUGACGUCAUGUUGUGGAGUUCUUCUGGUUUUGAGUGGUGUAGGGGGUCGAAUUCUUGACAUUUCAAGCAUUUCUUUACGUACUCUGCACAAAACCUUGGAUAGUCGGCCAAUAGUAUCCUACUUGAAUGGUCGACCAAUAGUAUCCUACUCAGAUGACCUUGGCCGCCAUGAUUCCAUCCGGAGUGAUUACCGCAAGCUCCAUCAUGGAUUUCUUGCAAGUUUGCUUUUGGUGAGGCAAAGGAGUGGAGUACCCCUUCUAAGUUAAAAUUAUAGGUUUAUGUAUGACAUAAAUGAAUUAGUUUAUAUACUUAUAUGUGAUAUAUUUUGAUAAAAUUGGAUUAUUUAUAUUUUUAUAGCUUUAUGUAUGAUAAAAUGUUAAUGAUUGUUUUAAAAUUAAUGAAAUAACGUAUUCUGAUUUUAACCAUUUAUAUAUUUUGACUUUGGAAUUGACAUUAUCCAUUCUGAUUUCAAAAUUAAACUUCUAAUCGCAUGUUUAAGUAAGAUUAUUAUGAGUCCAUCAUACAAAAUAUUUUGCAUGUUUAAGAAUAUCUACCAAUUAUACCACAAUAUGAGUACAGAGAAAGUUAUAAUAAAAUUCAUUGAAAAAUGCAUACAGAUUAAAACUUAUAUAAAUUCUAAUAUUUUGCCAACAAAUCACUAACAAAGUCCCACAUCAUGAAGCAAGGUAAACAAACUAUUAGUAUUAGCAAGUAACAUUUCUUACUCAUUCUUCAUCAUCCACCACAAGUGUUAUAAAGAACCUAUAUUGUCUAUUCAAACUCAUAAAUAUCACAUAAAAAUAAAAACUUAGCAUAUCAUAGUAUGAUACAUCAUCAUACAUGCUUUCCACACCUCUAUAAUAGAUGCAAAUUUAUUUACAUAAUUUUACCUAUAUAUAUAUAUAUGUAUAUAACUAGUAUAUAUGCGUCAUGACAGUCACUCACAAAUUCAGUUACGUCGAAAAAAUCAGAAUAGGUUCAGAAACUUGCGAAUCUUCUUGGCGAACGAAUUUUCCUCGCGGUGCUGGUGGUGAAUCUGGCCGCGGUGAUGGUGUUCGCGAACGGAAUCGAAGCGCUCUGCGGUCGUCAGAGACCGUACCUCGGCGUCGGCGUGAACCGUGACCCAGCGCGGAUGGAUCCGGCUAGCGGAGGCUUUGUCGAGCACGAUCGCGUCGUUUCCGUAAGGGAUCUGGAGGCCGUGGCCGUGGCCGUGGCCGUGGCCGUGGCCGUGGCGGCAGCGGCGGUGGCCGGAGCGGAGUGAAAGCGGAAGCGCCGACGGAUGGACGUGGUGGAAGUGGCGGUUGAUCGGACGGAAGCGGAGGAACGUAAGGGGAACGGGAUCGAUGGUCGCGACGGUGAAGGAAACGGUGCCGUCUUGAGUUUUAGGUUCGGGACUGUUCAGAGGUUCGGAUUGAGGUUUAGGUUCGGGAAAGGGGUUUUGGAGAUCGUGCGCUAGUGUGAGGGUGAGGAGGAAGAGAAAGGAGAGGAAAACGGUAAGGGAAGGAGCUAUUCUCGCCAUGGUGUAGGGCGUGUUUGGCUGUAAAUGUGAAACGGGGAAACGGAAAGAGAUAAAAGGAGUUGCGAGGAAGGAGAAUUUUCUCGCUUAUGUCGUAAGAAUCACGUUGCAGCACGACUUGACUUUGUUCCAGGUAAAAUCAUCAUCACUAUAAUACUUUAUUUUCUUUUAUAUUUUUUUACUAGUUUUAAUGGGUGUUGAUGUAGAUAGAUCAAUAAAAUAAUGAGACGUAUGAAAAAAGGUUAUGUAUUUAUAACAUAUUUUUUAUUAUUAAUUCAAAAAUUCAAAAAAAUAAAUAUGUCAAUUUGUUUCUUUAAUAGUUUUUUAUUUAUAAUUUUUUAUUUUUAAUAAAUUUUAACAAUAAAAAAAAGUAUUGGAAAGAGUGGGUUGCUGACUCGUUCUAAAAAUAUUAAAUUGAUUUUAUAAGCUAUGUAAUAAAAAAGAAAUAUUUGAAAAGGAAGUAAACGAUAAAAAAUUGUAUGUAUGGGUGUUAUUUUUUAAUUUGAUAAUUUUAUAUUCUAAUAAAUAAAAAUAAUAUUUUUUUAAAAAUAAUUCAAUAAUUUCUUUAAAAAAUAAUGGUUGUAUAAUUUUUAUAAUAUUAUUUUUACAAAAUUAUAUAUAUUUUUAAUUAAUUACUCAUAAAAGUAAUAAAAUUAUAAAAUUGCAUAUAUUUUGAUUUAAUAAAAAAUAUGGAUAUACAUAUACUGAAGAGCAUGUGUUUUUCUAUUGUGAAUAAGAGUUCAAUUCAAAUUAGUAAGGUUGUCACCGAGUGUAUGAGUUAAUUUGCGUUGACUUGAUUUAGUUUAUUUAGUUGAUUUAGUUAGUGAUCUUAAAUUAUUUUUCUACACUAAAAAAAUUACUACGGUUAAAAAAAAUACAUUGCAAGUGUAAUGGAUAUUUUUAAUAGUAUAAUUUAUAAUUUUAACAAAUAAAAAGUAUUUUCAUCUUGAGAGUGUUUGUGUUUUACAUCUACUCAAAAGUCAUGUUAGUUGUGAUGUUUUUGGGAGAGUAAACACUUGUUGAUUAUAAAACACAAUAUGUAAACUAAAAAUUAAAAAAAAAAAUCAACAAUUAAAAUAUUAAUAAAUGUGAUUAUACUAAAUAAAAAUAUUUAAGGGUUCUUCUUUAUUUAACUGAUAAUAUAGUGAUGAAAAUAUAAUCAAGAGUAAAGUGUUUGAAACACUUUUAAGGGUUUGGAGGACGUACCAGAAGAGUAAGGACAAUGAGAGUCAAGAAAAUUUUACAAUAAGUAUGAUUCCCUUUUAUUAAACCCAAGAAUGACGACUUCUUUUUUCAUAACGUGGUUCUGAUAUCAACAAAUGGUAUAAACCCUCUUGUUUGUUAAGAUCUUGAGUUUUGACAUCUAGAAAAUCAGACAAAGAAUUGAAACAAGGAAAAAAAAAGUUGAACACUUAAGUUCACAGACAAAGAAUUAGAAUUAUGCAUUAUGAACAAAAGAUAAAAAAUGAUAUAGAAAUUGAGGACGCCACACUUCCCUAAGGACGAAAGUUAUUUGUGAGAAUUGAACAAAAAAAACUAACAAAUAAGGUCAAACAAUCUCCUCUUCAAUGAGACAAUUGAUGAAUAUCAACUUUGAUUCUUCAAGACUUUGUUUUAUUUUAGGAAGCUUUGUCAACCCUUGUUUUGAUUCUUCACAACUUUGUUUUAUUUUAGUAAGUGUUGUCAACCCUUGUUGUAAAGCUUCCUUUUGGCUCUUCUUGUUCUUGCUAUUGUCAUAGAUUCACCAAACUCAUUAAGUGUUUCAAACUCCUUACUUAUGGUUUUGUCCUCGCCACUAUUUUUAAUUGAACUAAGGUAUUAAUGAUUCUAAGAUGUUAUAGAAAAAAAGGAUGAAAUAAAAAAAAUCAUAAAAAGAAACAAUUAUCAUAAAUAAUAAAAAUAUUUUGUUAAUAGUGAAUUGAUAAAUUAAUAAAAUGAGUAAGAAUUAUUAAUGAUGACAUUUGAAUAUAGUUUAAAUAUUCAAAAUAACUAAUAAAAUAGUUUAAAUUAUCUUAUAUAUAUUUAGGCAAUAAAAUGUUUGACAAGUAGUGAGAAUGUGGAAAAAAACUUAUAGAAUAAAUUGUUCAAAAGAGAUUAUAGCUCAAAAAUGAUAAAAUUCAAAAGGUUAUUAUUUCUCUUAUUUAUUGUUGAAUUUUGUUUAAGCAAAUAAUGGUCAAGCUAUUAUUGUUUUCGAGGUAAUUGUAAAAAUUUCAAUAAACAUCAUAAAAAGAUGAACACGUAAACACAAGUUAUAAAAGGCAUAGUAGAGUUCAUUAUUGAAAAUGAACAAAAGUAUACAAUUGAUCAUAAAAUCUUAGUUGAGAUGAUUGCCAAUGAUUGUCAUAUUAGGCAGAUGAUGAAAUCAUGAGUAGCACAACACUAAUUGGGUCAACUCAGCCUCUUAGAAAGGAAAAAUAGGAGUAUGAUACAGGAUCCAAGGUUAACUCAGACAUCUCAGAUUACUAAUGACUCAGGCUCUAUCAUUUCGCAAAGGAUCACUAGGAGUAAAACACAAUAACAAGGAUCAGGACAUCAACUGUUCUCUUUUUUAUUAUUUUUAUAGACUAUGAUUUAAAUGUAAUAAAUUGGGCUUCUCCUUAACCCAAUUAGGGUAAUGUAACCUAGCUUUUAGAAACCCUAGCAUAUGAUGCACCUAAGUCACACUUUUCUCACAUUAAGCACAUGUUUAAAUGUGGAAAGUGUGCUUCCGUUUAGAUCCAUGAUUACAUGCGCAUGUUUAGGGACUUAAGUAGGGUUAAUUUGAAUUUUCCUCCUCCCUUUAAUUACGCAACACCUACUCUUAUAAAUAGAGAGUUUUCUCUUGUAAACUACACUUGAUUUUGAGUAAAGAAACUCAAGUAUUUUUCAAUUAGUCUAAAUUAUCUACUUUUACUCUGAGUGUUAUCUUGAGUGUGAACUUCAAGUGAUGGCUCUUCAUCACUCAUUUUGGAGUCUCCUUCCAAAUGGUAUGAUCAAUCUUCUUCAAUGAAUUUACUUCUUCCAUAAGCUUCCCUGUCUACUACUCUUUUCUAUCUUCUUAUUACUUCAUCUUUUUUAUCUUUGUAUUCAAUUCUAGUUUCCCAUAUUAUACUUCCAUGUCCAUGUAUGUUUUUCUUUAUUUUUCUACUCUUUAAAGGCCGUUUUCACACUUAUAUAAUUCCCUUUGGAUUAUAUUUGUGUCCAAUAACAAUUUUCAUUGAAUUUUAUCCAUAAUUAAAUUCUUCUAAAAUAAUAAAGUGAAUUCUUUAGAGAGGGUUUCAAGUUGUAUCAAGGUAAAUAUUUUUCACAAUUUAUCUCAUUGCGGUUUUCAAUUGAUAUUUUAUGUUAUAUUGAUAAUUACUUUUUUUUAGUACAUUGUUUUUAUUGAAUAAAUAUUGUCUCAUGUUAUAUUGAUAAUUACACCUUUUUUAGUACAUUGUUCUUAUUGUUCUCUCAACUCCUUUGUAUUUUUUACUUGAUCUAGUCUUUUGAAUUGUGCAACUUUUCUUUAGUUAAAUUCUUUUUCAGCUUUCAAUUUUAACUUCUUUCACAUUAUUUUGGUCAUAGACCUUUCGAAUUUUGUGUUUUUCAAACCAUCUUAGCUUGCCCUACCUCCAAGUCAUUUUUGAAUUAUUUGUUUUAGGCUAAAAUUUUUAAAUAUUAUUUUAAACCUUAUAUUUCUUUAAUUAUCUUGUAGGUCUAGCUUUAUAUGUAAUUUUUGACCCAUUAUCUCAUUGUCAAACAUUUUGAGCAUUACUAAAACAAUGCAACUCGAACAUCUGACUUCUUGAAUAUGUAAUAUCCAUUUAAGACUAGAUGUCAAGUUGCAUGAAAGCUUUUAUAAAAAUAAUAUCCAUUUGAGACUUACUAAGAUUCUAUGUUUGAUUCAUUGAAGGCAAAUUGUAUUUCUAAAAGAUCAAAUUAAACAAAUGUUAAUAAAUUAAAUGCAUCAAAAGAGAGAGAAAGGUAAAUGCAUCGAGAAAGAGAAGGGUGAGGCCCUUAUUUUGAUAAAAUUAUAGAAAUAUCAAAAGAGUCAUGUAUUUGAAGAAGUUACAUAUUCGAAAAAGUUGUUCAGACCAAAGCAGGGAUCAUGAAGAGCAUGGAAAAUUACAAUUACUUACUGUACAUGUAACUUUCCAGUGAAGAUAAGUGGACCUUUGACAAACUCAAUGUGUCAUGUAGUAAUAAAUAACUAAAAAAAAUAAGUCUAUAAAUAAAUAUUUGUACUUUUAUGGGGUGGAAAAAAUGAACAGAGUAACAAUAUUUCUAAAACAUGAGAAAGGGUAGUGAAAUGAGUUUGUGUCUUUAUUCACGAACUUUCUAUAUAAAUUAUUCAAGUUAUCAUUAUCUUCUGGAUAAAAUUUCAUUGCAAUUUAUAUUAUUGUUUCCUUAUUUACAAGGGUUAUUGAUAGGAAUUUUCCUAUCAAUUAUUAGAUAGUGGUUAGUUUUCUUACUGAGGAAUGGCUAAAGCAUCCCUUAUUUGAGUCAUUUAGCCAACUAACAAUCAAAAACUAACAUUAGUUGUUUGGACUAAUGGAUUCGACAGUGGUCAUUUGCUAAGAUAGCAUAUUACAAGUGUUAUGGUUUCAGUUUCUGGAUAUUAUUCUUGUUGAGAGGUUCACAUCAACUGAGAACAUUUUUCAUCCUAGUUCUUAUUAUAGACCAUGUUUGAGUCAACACGAGACUCAUCAUCAACACAUUUGUUGAUACAAUUUGUUUGUUAUAUAUAUUAAGGGUAAAGUUAUUGUAAUCAUAUCACUAGUUAAUACAUUUUGCACGUCUUGUAAACCAUAUUAACAUUUUUUUUCAUACAUUGUUAGUGGUUUUGAUUAACAUUAAUAAUAUUUAUAUUUUGAAGAGUAUUAGACAUAAUAAUUUUAUUAUUCCUUAAUUUCAUACAUGUCCGAAACAUUUAAAUUAGUCAUUAUCUCUUUACACAUUUUUCUUACUUUGUAAACACAAGUUCCACUGAACGUGUCAAUUUGUUUUUAUAAAAGAUGAAUUUAGUAUUUUAUUCAAUAAAAAACAAAUGCAGAUUAUAGAUUAUUUUUAUUUAGACUACCAAUCUUAAACAUUAAAUUAUAGGGAAAAUAUAGAAAUGUUCCUUUUUAUAAUUAGUUGAUUUUUGGAAUUAAAAGUACAAAAUGAUAAUUUAUACAUAUUUUUUUAGUUUUCUAAUUUUACAUUUAAAGAAAAUUUGCAUAAAAUGUAAAACUGUUAUAAAAGUAAAUGAUCAAGAUAUGUUGGAAGAUAAAAAAGAUGAAAUACUUAAAAGUCAAAAUUCUAGAUUAAAUAAAAAAAAAAAUCAAAGACUUCAAUAAAGAAAAUUGAAAUUUGUAAAACAACACAAUAUGAAAAAGAUUAACAUUGAAUCAACAUUAAAAAAAUUAAAUGAAAAGAAAAAAUGUAUAUUGCAAUGAAAUUUUACCAAGACAAAGAAAACUUGAAUAACAAAUGCAUAAAAUUGGUUAACAACACGGAUUAUUUCAUACAUUGACAUUUACACUACGUUGGUUAGAUGUCCACUUUUCUUUAUUUACAAAAAAAAAUAGACGUAGAGUAAACAAUUGGAACUUUCCACGUUCUUUGUAAUCUCUACUUCGAUUUAAAUUACUUUUCUUCAUGCAUGAAACUCUUCUUUACAUAAUUUAUAUAAUUUCAUAAAAAUAUAAAUCUCACUCUUUAUCCUUCUUUCUCGACGCUAAUACAAUGUCUUCGUGGAACAUAAAAUCUUUGGUAACUUCAAAAGAAUAUUAUUAUCGAAAAAUUCAAUUCUCUCACCCUCAAAUUUUAUACACCACUGACAACAUAAUUAUAAAAAUAGUUGUAAAAACAAUAAUCAUUAAUAAAAAUAUGGCAGUCAUUCUUAAUUGGAACAAUUCAAUAGUAAAUUGAUAACGACAAGAUAUAGUACGCGACUAACAUUAAGUUAUAAGCAUUUGUUGACCAUCAAAUAGGAUCAUUCAUUUAGCAACAAAAAGUUCCUUAUGAUCUUAUGAUUCAAUGCAGUUCAGCAAUUUCUGUGCCUAAUGCAA
This 53562-nucleotide long non-coding RNA is filed under the name Phaseolus vulgaris (common bean). RNAcentral describes it as "long non-coding RNA (PVUL_LNC002563)". The record is from RNAcentral. Lineage: Eukaryota; Viridiplantae; Streptophyta; Magnoliopsida; Fabales; Fabaceae.